This 61974-nucleotide long non-coding RNA is filed under the name Vitis vinifera (wine grape). RNAcentral's name for it is "long non-coding RNA (VVIN_LNC005893)". The record is from RNAcentral. Lineage: Eukaryota; Viridiplantae; Streptophyta; Magnoliopsida; Vitales; Vitaceae.
UUGCAUCUUGGUUGUGCAUGACAACUAUGACGUGGGUUGAUAGUUGACACAGGAUUUUAAGCAACUAUUUUAUAAGAGUUGCAUCAAUGACUUUAUAUAUGAAUUAAGCAGCUUUUUUCUUUCUUUUUUGGUGAAAGAAGACAUCAUGCACGAACAUGAGAGGGAGAGGGAGGUCCAUGAUCGUUUGGACUUCCAAAAGCAAAAGCUCUUUUGGAUAAAGAUGUGAAUGAGUUACUUGUAGUUUUUGCGGAACUCCACUUAAUAAAAGAUUGAAACAAUGACUUAUUUGGUUAUCUUUAAUAUUUGAAUCCCAUGCUUAAUCACACUUUAACAGCAGUUACUGGAAUCAGCUUCCCUUUGGCUAUGAUUUACUUGGAAACCAGCAAACCACACACCAAUGUUCCUACGCCUGACGUCAGAAAUUUGAAAAACCCAGCUUCGGGGCAUAGGUGUGACUUGUGAGUUCAUCAGAAAAUUGAAGUAGAGAGCUUUACUCCAUCCCAUAUGCUCUGGUAUGAUUCUGAGGCAAAAGGAUUCAAUGGAGCAGCUUUUCCCGAUAAGGGAACCACUAUGGUGUAAAUAGUGUGGUGCUCCUUGGUGGUCCACAUUACUUAGCCCCCAAAAUCCACCAUGGGAUGAUUAAUAUGUUGGAAUUUUUAUGUGUGGACUUAUAUAAUCAAUUUAAUAAUAUUAUAAAUCAAUGUUAAGUUAAUUUUUGUAUUGUGGUCCAUAAUGGGACUUGACACAUAUUAUUACUUGAUUUUUUAUGGAUUCACCUAAUUCACUUGACUGGCCGAUUAAGUCAAGUGGUCCAAAUAAAAUGUAUAAUGUGUAAUAUAUAUAUAUAUAUAUAUAUAUAUAUAUAUGCAUUUAGAGAGACUCCUUUUCUUCUCCACACACACUUACACUUCGACUGAAUUUUUGGGGAAGAAAAGGAAGGGCUCAUUGAUCCCUAAUUCUCAUACCAUCACGCACCUAGAACAACAUCUUGGAUAUCAGAGGAGGAAUAAAUGACUUUUCAUGGCAUAAAUCAAGGUAAUCGGUUCAUUUUUUGUCAUUAAAUGCAUGCUUAAAUGUUAACAUGUGAUCCUAUGCUAUUUCAAUUCUCUUCAUAAUGCCCCAAGUAAUUGGGUCACCGAUCCGCCGUGGUGGGUUUCGGGCGAGAUGGGUUGCUUCUUAAAUGAAAGAAAGAAUCAUAUGAACAGGUAGAUGAGGGAGUUACGGUCCCUUCCUCAGCUACCUAUCAUUCAUUUGCAUCAAUGUAGGAAGCCUGGACCCCUUGUGUAUGCCUUUUUGCAGCCUUCCAGGAAACCCCAUUUCUCUGGGUACAAUGUAAUGGGCCAUAAAACGGCCCGUUAGGUGGAUCAGGGGCCCAAUACAUAAUUGAACGGUCAGAUUGCCAUGAGAAAUGGGAGUAAAAUAUGAAGCUUUUUUAUUAGAUGUGCAUAUAGAUGAAUCAGGGAAGCGCACUAUUUCCAAAUCAACAUCACUUUUAGACAAGGAAGUUCCUCUGCAACUCUCCCCUCCCUCUUCUUCUUGGUUCUCUCAAGUGGUAACACACCCUGUGUUUGUUUGAGCUGAAACCCCAUUUUCAGAUCUCUCCUCCAAUGGCUAAAACCAGAAACCCGAGCAAGUCAUAAAGGAAAGCUGCACAAAGCAAGACCAGGUACCCCAAAAAUCAGAGAAACCUCCCUCUUUCAGAUCUCUCCUCCAGUGGCUAAAACCAGAAACCCGAGAAAAGUCAUAAAGGAAAGCUGAACAAAGCAAGACCAGGUACCCCAAAAAUCAGAGAAACCUCCUCCUUGGGCGGUUGUGAGAAGCCUUUUGACCUGCAAACACCUCCAGACUCAACAACAGAAGCAGCGAGAACAAACCGUCCAGGGAAGCGGCAAGAAGUGCAAGAAAAUGAAGUGUUCCGGUUCACUGCGCAGCAACUCAAAGGUCAUGCCCAGGCCUGAAAUGUCUUCACCAGAAGACCACAAGAAAAGGACGUCGAUGGCUUCAUCCAACAAUGACGGUUCCAGCAGAUCCAUGAAAGCUCCUCUUAGUGAACUCAAUGGGGUUGUUUCCUCCACUUCUUCUUCAUUGUCUGCGUCUUCUAACUCUUCUUUUGGUGGGUCCUUUAAAGGAAUGCCUCUCAGGAGACUAUCUGGGUGUUAUGAGUGCAGAAUGGUGGUUGAUCCGGUUCUUGGAAUCACUAGAGACCCUUCUUUGAGAACCACCAUCUGUUCCUGUCCUGAUUGUGGUGAAAUCUUCAUGAAAGCUGAAAUUUUGGAGCUUCAUCAGGCCGUCAGACACGCCGGUGAGUACCCACUUCCAGGUUUCAGUCAAUGAUCGGUUUUUUUUUUAAAAAAAAAAAAGAAGAAAAAAACCAAAGAAAUCUUAAUUCAUUUAUGCUUAAUAGUAUUAUUUUUGUAAUAUUUUAUUUUUACUAAACAUUAAAAUUAAAAAAUCAAUAUAUUAUUAUUAUUUUUAGUUUUUUCUAUCCAAUAAAAAAUUAUAAUUAACGAUGAAAAAGUAAAAAAAAAACAUUGCUUUCAGCCCAAAAAAACCUAAAAAAACAAACACCUUAAAUUAAACAAAACAGCACCACCGAUUGUAUUUAGUCUAUUCAUCGGGAGGUUCCGGAAACUCAAUGAUGAAAAACCAGGACUUGGAAGACUUUAAUUUUAACUUCUUUUGCUUUAUUUACUCAGUGACCAAACGUAAUCUUAUGGGAAAUCCUUUAUCUUGCCAAUUUCAAUUAGCUUUUCCUACUUACAAUACUCAUUGUUGGUCUGUCAAAAUUCAGUGUCAGAACCGGGUCCAGAAGACACAAGCAAGAACACGGUGGAAAUCAUAUUCCAAUCGAACUGGCUAAAGAAACAGGCCCCAGUCAUUCUCAAAGUCCACAACACCCCCAAAACCAUAUCCAAAUUUGAAGAAUACAGAGACUCCAAUAAAACCAAAGCCACCAAGCUCCCAAAGAAACACCCACGCUGCGUUGCAGACGGCAACGAACGCCUCCGCUUCCACUGCACCACUUUCGUCUGCUCCAUCGGCCUCAACGGUUCCUCCAAUCUCUGCAACUCAAUUCCAAGCUGCAAUAUCUGCAGUAUCAUCAAGAACGGUUUCAAGGUCGCCGGAGGGGUUCCCGGAAAAAGGAUUCUGACCACAGCCACCAGUGGAAAAGCCCGUGACAGUGCUAGAAUGUCGUCGCCGGAUGGUAAGGUGAAGAGGGCCAUGCUGGUUUGCCGAGUAACAUCUCACGUUGACUUCUCCAGAUCCAAUGGCUUGAGUGCAGGUAUUGUGUCGUGUGUCCUUCUGUUUGCUUGCUGAGAAAGUGAGGGAGAAAAAGGGAGGGAAUUUGAAUGUAACAUUGUGCUUUUGGUGUUUUUCGCUUUCUGAAAAAACAAGCCAUUUUUAUUUACUUCUUCAAAUCUGUUGAGUGAAUUUUUUUCUGCUGUUUUCUCUACAACCAAACUGAGAAAAAACAGAGUUGUGGGCGGGCAGAUUUGGUGCACUGAAGCUUUUCUUAUCUCUUUCAUCCAUGUUUUCGGACUUUCAAUUACACUGGGCUCCCGUCUCAUCAGCCGUUUUUAAAUCAUUGUUGCGAUAAUGAAUUUCCAGUCUGUGUUCUUGAAAAUUUAGGGAGAAUUUUUAAUCAGUUUUUGGCUAAUGCUUGUUUGGUUGCUGAGAAAACAAUAAGGGGGAAAGGUCAAAAUUUUCUUCCUUUCUUCCGCUCUCUGUGAUCAAACUAAGCUUCGUUCUCAUUGUAGUAAUUCAAACACCUCAUGUUCUUUGCAGUCGGAAAUUACUACCAACAGGAAAUGGGUGGUGCUACUUGCAUUCAAGGUAAUUAAUCAUCGCUCUUUUCUACUUCAAUCAAGCUUGGUUUAUUUUGAGUUUUCAUCUUUAUUGUUAUAAUUUGUGGGAUAAAUGAGUUAUUUUCCCCAAAAAUUGUCUGACAACCUGCAAUCCAUAUUCACUUCUAAUCACGUGUCAUUCAAUAGCACAAAACAAACCCACAUAUAUAUGAAGAUUAUGUCAGAAGAUUGAAGUUAAAAAGUCAUAUAUCCAACCAUUUGAAGCCACCAUUUUGUAUGAUCAUUUGAUUUAGAUGAUAUGUUGCGAAGUGCAGAUCUAUGCUACACUAAAGAGUGGAUCCAUAGCCAUUGCUACAUCCACAUUAGAUUCAUUGCUAGAUCUCAGGAUCGGUGACAAAAACUUACUGCUACCAAUAUCCUAAUGGAAAAUUGCGGGUGUAGCUAGUAGACAUCAUUAUCUCUGUAGCUAUCAUGUAUUAAUUGACCUUUUAAUUUCUAUUCAUCUAAUGAUGCUUUAUGGGAUAUGAGAGUUGAUUUGAAUUUUAUUUUAUUUUUUGGUUGAAAUCCUUAUUUGAACGAAAAUGUCAUCACCUUAGAGUCGGAUUUUUUAUAAGGGUACGAUAAUUUUAAACAAUAAUUUCUAAAUUAUCGUAGUAGGAAAAAUAAUUCCAAAUCUACGGUAGUUUUUGCCAGGUAGGAGUGAAGGAUAUUUGUUUUCUUUAUCAACUUGGAAAUCGUCUAUUAAAAAUAUGAUUUCCAAAAAAUUUGGAAGAGAUGAUUUCCAUUUUUCUUUUUGCGGAUAAAUCGAUCAAUAGUGUACACUUAAUGUUUUUAUCACUACUUAAGGAACUUGGAGUUACUGGUACUUACAGUUGGGGUAAUGCUUACCUAGCUUGGCUAUAUCGAGAGAUAUGUCGAGCAUCCCAUAUUGAUGCACAUGAUGUAUUGGGUCAUCUCAUUUUGUUACAGUUAUGGAUAUGGAUGGAGUACUGCCACAACCACUUUUAGGCAUGCGGUAUGUAUUCAACCUUAGUUAUAGUAUAUGUAAAUACAUACAUGCAUAAAUAAACAAUUAUUCAAACUUUUAAUAUAUAUAUUCUUUUUGUAGUUGGAGAGAUGAGUUUUGUACUACUUCGACGUCUAUGCAUGUAUUACUCCAGUAUAGAUAUCUACUUGAUCGACUUAUGCCAGAGUAGGUGAGAAAUUCGUUGUUUUGAAUAAUUUUUUUAAACAAUUUAUAAUCAAAAUAUUAUUAAAUAAUGUGAGUCAUAUUUCAAAUUUAAUUGCAGAUUAUAUGGGAGCCAUAUACCGAUGAUGUCAUCUCUGAACUCCCAAAUUACUAUACUAUUGCUUUUGACUUGUGGUUGACUAUUUCACCCCUUAUCUGUUUUCACAUAGUGGAGUGGCAUAGAUUUGAUCGUUGUAUGAGGCAGUUUGGGCUACUACAACAUAUUCCCGAGCAAUGCGAUACAAAAUUAGGAUUACAUAAAUAUGAUUUGAGGGGUCGACAUGAUUUGGAUUGGAUAAGUAUUCAUCACCACUAUAUUCAAAGGUGGGAGGCUAGGUAUGAUCAUCUUGCUAGAGUUGAGGCAACAUAUACUUCUUACGGGUAUAACCACCCAUAUAAGGUGUGGUAUCGUUUUAUCACUCGCCUUUUUAUGACUCCACAUGGAUCUUCAUGGGAGAUAGUGGUAAUUAUAAUGUCUUUUUAUUUAUUAUUCUAUUUUAUUCUAAUUAGAAAAACAUUUAAUUUUUUAUUUUUAAUUCUUACAGAAUCGCAGUUUCCAACAGAUACAUCUAUGGACUGGUCUAAAUACACUGAAUAUAAGUCAUUGUGAUGAAAUUUAUCAAUUAUGUGCAACCACUUUAAAGGCUAUACACGAGGUUGAUAGGUUGCUUAUUCCCCCUAAUGUCGUUGAUACAUAGAGACAAUCAUCAGAUGAGGAGGUAGUGAUGAGAUAUGGUGGGGUACGAACUAGAGGUGGUAUGGUGCUGACCAGAGGUGAUGGGGUGCGGACCAAAGAUGGUGGGGUACAAACCAGAGGUUUAGAGAUACACGAGGUUGAUAGGUUGUUUAUUCCCCCUAAUGUCGUUGAUACAAAGACACAAUCAUUAGAUGGGGAGGUAGGAAUGAGAGAUGGUGGGGUACGAACUAGAGGUGGUGGGGUGUGGACCAGAGGUGAUAAGGUACGGACCAGAGGUGGAGGUGUUUGAACUAGAGGUGGAGGUGUACAAACACGUGGAUGCCAUAUUUAUGAUGAUCCACACUUCCCUAUUGAUGAUGCAUCGCUAGAUUUUCCAUCAUCAUCGCCUCUACAACAUUUUGUCUUCACUUUUUCAACACCACUUGACCAGUCAUUACCUCAUUCAUCAGUUCCAUUCAUUGAUGAGGGGGUGAUACAAGAAGAUGUUGGGACAUUAUUCAUCCAGGAGCUAUUGCAUUCUUAUAUUGAUGGGCCUUCUUUUCAUAUACUUAUGUCAUCUAGUAUCAAGGUGUCAUUUACUCCAUCUACAACACCACUCAUUGUUUUGUCACUACAAUCAUUAGGACAUCUAUUUAGAGAUGUUAUGGCGACACAAAUGCAAUAUUUUCCUACACCACUUGUUGAACAACAGGGAGAGGCUCAGGUUCAAGAUCAAGGACGUGGACAUGGAAGAGGUCGAGGCCAAGGACGAGGACGAGGAAAUGGAGCAACAUUAGAUGGUCCCUCAAAUCAAUCUGAGUUGGAAAGAUGUCAUCAACGCCCAUAACCAAGAAGGAAACCUCCUUCAUGUGGCACACAUUGAUGACUUUUAUAUAUUUUAUCGAACAUAAAUUGUUAAUACAUGUUUUUUUGUUACUUGUUGGUUUAUUUGUAUUGAUGUUGCAUAUUAACUUUUAUUGGUUGUUAGUUUACUAGUAACGUAUGUUAAUUUAUCGUCUGCUGGUAUUGAAGUUGUCAUGUAGUAAUAUUGAAUUUUAAUAUUUUAGCUCUGUUGACAUUCAUCGUUAUUAUUUUAUUAGUUGUUAUGAUGUUUGUUGGUUUAUUAGUUUAUAUAUAUGGACAAAGUAUUAGUUUUUUUUAUUUAUAAUAGUAGUUGAUUUUUUGUCAUUUAUUAUUUGAAUGUGUUUGAUUGUUUAGUGAUUGAACAUAUUAAUGUAAGUUAUCAAUUGAUAUAUAUACUUUCUUUGUUGAUGGUUCAUAUGAAUAAGGUUAUUGGUUUUUUUGCAUUCACGAUAAUAAUUGAAUUUCUAUCAUAGUUGAUAUUUUAUUAAUUGUUGGGCUAUUGUUGGUUUUUUAACAUUUACAUAAAUAAUGUUAUUGGUUUUUUAUAAUCAUGAUAUUUUAUUUUAAUUUAUUUUUUUAUAAUUAAUUCCUUUUACAGUGAAAUUUGAAGUAAUAUUUUUAAUUUUAAAAUUUAUAUAAUAAAAUUUAUUUUAUAAAUAAUUAUUUAAUAAAUUAAUAACAAAUUUGUUUUUUUAUAAAAUCAUUUUUCACAUAAACAAAAAAGAAAUAGAUAAAUAUUAUUUAUCUUAUAAAUAAAAAACAAUAUCAAACUAAAUUAAUUUUACUAGUUGUAAUUAAUUGAAUUAAUUUAAAGAAAAAUUGAAGAUUAAGAACAAUUAAAAUUAUUUAACUUAUUUUUUUUAUUAUAUUUUAUUGAUUUUACAGUGAAAUUUUAACUAAAAUAUUAAUAUUUUUAAUCUUAAAAUUUAUACAAUAAAAUUAAUUAAAAAAUUAAAACAAAACAAAAUUAUUUAUUUUGUAAAUAAUUAUUUAAUAUAUUAAUAACAAAUUUGUUUUUUUAAACUCAUUUUUUCACGUAAAUUGAUAACAUUUUUUUUUAAUUGCAAAGUGAAAGAAAAAAAUAGAUAAAUAUUAUUUAUCUUAUAUUAAAUUUAGCAAAUAAAAUUAAUUAAUUGUAUAAUAUAUAUUUAUAAUAAUUGUAUGAGUAUAAUUAAUUUUUUAAUUCCAAAUUGGAUUUAUAAUAUAUUGUUAUAUUAAAUUAUAUUAUUUCUUUUUAUAAUAUAUACAUAAUUAAUGGUAUUAAAAUAUAUUAAAAUUUUAAAUUUUGGUGGAAAUCGUAUCUCCAAGAGACGAUUUCCAAUUAUGAAUUUUUUUUUUAAAUCAUUUUUUGAAAAGACUAUUUCUACUUUCUUUUUUCUUUUUUUGAAAAUAGACAAUUUCAUUUUUUUUUUUAAUAGGGAAAUCAUCUCUUCAAAAGACGAUUUCCAAUUCAAUUUUUUGGAAAUCAUCUUUUUAACAAACGAUUUCUGAGUGGUUAUUAUAUAUAUAUUUGUUUUGGUGGAAAUCAUCUUUUAUAUAAUAUUUGUUUUGGUCGAAAUCAAUUAUUAAAUAAUAGAUAAAUAUUAUUUAUCUUCUAUUAAAUUUAGCGAAUAAAAUUAUUUAAUUGUAUAAUAUAUAUUUAUAAUAAUUGUAUGAGUAUAAUUAAUUUUUUAAUUCCAAAUUGGAUUUACAAUAUAUUUUUAUAUUAAAUUGUAUUAUUUCUUUUUAUAAUAUAUACAUAAUUAAUGGUAUUAAAAUAUAUUAAAAUUUUAAAUUUUGGUGGAAAUCGUCUCUUAUUGUGGUUUUUUUAUUUUAUUUUUUUUGGGAAAUCAUCUUUUCAAGAGACGAUUUCCAAUUCAAUUUUUUAGAAAUCGUCUUUUCAACAAACAAUUUCUGAGUGGUUAUUUUAUAUAUAUAUAUAUAUAUAUAUAUGUAUAUUUGUUUCGGUGGAAAUACAAUUUUCAAGUUGAUAAAGAAAACAAAUGUCCUUCCCUCUUACCUGGCAAAACUAACGUAGAUUUGAAAUUAUUUUUCCUACUAUGGUAAUUUAAGAAUUAUUUUUUAAAAUUACCGUACUCUUAUAAAAAAUCCCCUUAGAGUCACUAGUUUGUUGCUAAAGAAGACAAGUCACUUGCACAUAUUUAAAUACUGUGAAAAUUGGAUUUUGUAGUUCUUAGCUUGUUAAUUAUUGAAGCUUCACUGUACUGUAGAUUUAGAGAUACGAAAACGGAUAUAUAUAUAUAUAUAUAUAUGAACAAUUUAUGCAUUAAAAUCUUGUAGUUGGACAAAAUUGCCUUAAUCCUAUCAGUUUAUUAUGCUAAUGAGUGUGGUUCAAAGAGAAGACUUCUUCAAGUGUACAAUAAUAUCGAAAAACACAAAAUCUUUAGAAUUAAUCAAUAUGUAUACCCUCAUAUAGCAAAGUUUCUUAGGCUCAAUAUUCGACUUUUCUUAGGUAUAAGUACUCUUUUUGAAUUUUUUUUUCUUUAUACAUGAUUUUGAUAUGUAAUUGUAGUUUGAAUGGUCGUGUUGAUAGUUUUUUCAUGUUAUUAACUUGUUUUUUGAAUAAUCCUCCAAUAUAGUAAUUACUUAGAAAUAUAAAAUUGGUGAUCAAUUAUGAUCUUGUUUGGGAUAACUUUCUAUUUUUUUACUUCAACUUAAAGUUUAAGUUGAAGGUAAAGUCAUAAUUUGUAAAGGAUAAUAUUGAUAGUGUAAACAUUUUAUUUAAUAGAAAAAACUUAUUGCAUAAACCAAAAUAAAGUCUCUACAAAAAGUAAUAUUUUUUUACUUUCAUAUUAAACCCCUUUUUAAGUGGUAAGCAAUUUGAACAAAGUUAUCCAUAAUAGGUAUAAAAGUUCUUAGUAAGCUUAAAGAAAAACAAAACUUUUGUUUCUUAGAACUCGUGAUUUACAUAAUUAAGAAUUUGUGUCAAAUUGUUUUAAAAAAUACAGGUAGUUUCUUCAGAACUGUUUUUUAAAACAGUUCUUUCUAGGACAAAAGUCCAUUUGGGAACUUUGGAAGAUUUUGUUUUCUUAAAAGUAACUUUUUAUUUGUAGUGUUUUAUUUUUCAUCAUUUUUCACAUUUGCAUAGUUAUUUUUUAAAAUAGCCCCUAGAAAAUAAUUGAAAACAAUUAAGAUUUGUUUUGAAAAGAUACUUUGUUUUCUUAACAAUUAUUCAAAAAAAUUGUUUCUUGUUAAAAAAUUACCAAACAUGUUUUUUACUAUGGAAAAAUAGAAAACUGUUUUUCAAAAUCAUUCCUAAACAAGUUUUAAUUUUCUAUAUAAAUUCCUGGUUUUUCAGAAUUUGACUUAUAAAAAUCAUCAUUUGCUACAAACUAAAAAUGCCUUUUUCUUUCAAUGGAAGCAAGUUGACAUUGAACUUCAAGAAGAUUUACCCUUGAAAAAAGCUCAUACCAUAGGAGAGACCUUGCAGAUAAAGAUUAAAAAGCUUCCUAAAGUUAAGUGGAUGUUUGUUCAUCUGAUUUCGAAUGUGAUAACAAUCUCUGAGUAGGCUAUCUAAUAAUCAAGCUUUUUUUUUGGAUUCCUUGUAUUAAAAAGUACGAUGAGCUCAAAUAUUGAAAACUUAACUUUUAGAAAAAUUAGUAAUUCAACACCUUGGUUGUUAUAGAUGUUGACAUUUUCUUUUCCUAUUAUGAGUGGACAUUCAUCACUAUAUUUGUGUAAUAUGUAAGGGAUAUAGACUUAUAUAUAUAUUAUUUAAGUUUAUAUCAAUUGAUAAAUAGAUAAGUCAAUGGAUAAGGCAUCCAAGCACUACAAAGAAAAAAUCAAUUUGGACUUAUAUUAUCUUGAUAAAUAGCAAUAUAUGUCAAUGUUGUGUAUUAAAAUGAGCAAUUAUGACAGAAUGAAUUAUAAUGAUGCAACCUUGACAAACAAUUUAUAAGUUACUAUAUAGUUGAUGUAUUCAUAUAUAUAUAUAUAUAUACUAAAUUUUUAUGUUAUUUAUAAUGAUAUAUAACCUAUAGAAAAUUGGUAUAAGUUUAUAUAUAGUUAAUAUAUUCAUAUAUGAAGGCUAUACUUGACAACAUACCAUUUUUUAAAGUCUAUCAAGAUUGAUUUUAGCAUAUAUUGAAAAUUUUGCUUUUAAUUUUUUUUUUUUCAAUUUUCACCAUUGAAAAUUUUGUGAAAAGGAGAUUAAUUGUUUAUAAAAAUUUAUUGGAUUCUAUAUUAAUCCUUAAUGUUAAUGUUAAUAUCCCUUAUAGGAUUAGGUUCUUAUUCUUGUAUUCUUUUAUGAUCUAAAUUAGGGUUUGAUUAAAGAAUAAAAUGUAGCAUGAAUCGAGGUUUUAUUAAAAGAUAUAAUAUUGCUUCUUCUUUUAAGAGUUCUAUUUAUUUUUUUACAACUUUAGUACUUUCAAAAAUGUUUUUAUGAUAUUUUAAACAACUUUGGUGCUUUAAAAACAUCGUCCUUAUUUGAGGUAAUUUUGGUGCUUCUUAUAAGCAUGCAUACACAAAAUUAAUAUUUAGGAUAAAAGCUUGUUGCUUAUAAUAACAAAAUUUAUUAUCUUCAAAUGAGACCAUUAAAAAUACGUAUUUAUUUUGUUUUUUUAUUAAAAUUUAAUUGUCUUUUUAUAAAAUUGCUUUUGAUAGAAAUGAUACUAAUAGAGUCAUUAUUGUUUUUUUAAAAAAAAUACUAAAAUAACUAAAAGCAUUUUUCACCUUUUAAUUUAUAUGAGUAAAUCAUAAUAUUAAAAGUUAUUUGAAAAAUAAUCAAUUUUUUUUUUAACAUAAAUGUUUUUUACAAUUUCAGGUAUUUACAUAUAAUUUUUUUUUAAAGGUUACUUUUACCAUAAAAAGAUGAGAACAUUUUUAUCAAAAUAAGGUAAAAAAAAUGAAAGGUUAGACCUUGUUGGAUAAUGUUUUGGAAAAAGCCUCUGAAAAAUAGUUUUUAAAAUUGUUUUAUGAUAUUUUAUAAAACAAAAAUUUGUUUGGAAACCUAAAAUGGUUUUAACCUAUUUUUAAUAUUAUUAAAUAUGUUUUAAAAAUAAUUUUUAUCUUCACAACUUUAUUUUUAAUCAUUAUAUAUAUUUAUAUAAUUAUUUUUUAAAAUAAAUAUAAAAAAACAAGUUAAAACAAUUAAAAGAUGUUAUUUGAAAACAAUAUAUUUUAUAUUAAGAACACAAAAUAGAAAACAAUUUCUUGUUACCAAAACGUAUUUUCUAAUUUUUUUUUACUUUAGAAAACAAAAAAAACUGUUGUUGAUCAAAUAAGUUACCAAAAACUGUUACAAAAAUUUGGUUUUCAACUAUUCUUUUAAUCAAAUAAGUUAAUUUUAUAUUGGGUUUCUGCUGUGGUCCAUGGGUGUCUAGCCCAGAAUUGUAUUUGAUGUGGCCCGUGGUUGUGUUUGAGCCACACACACUGACAAUGAUUCCUUUCAAACCGAAAAAGUGUCAACGUGAUAUAAGGUAAUGUUUUUUUAUUGCUAACAAUAGACUAUUAGUAGAGCAUAGAGCUGCAGGGUGUCCAAAUUUGAGAGAGGAAGAGGAGGAACCCCUUGGGAGUCCCAAGAGCUACUUACUAGCUCCAUCAUGCACAUGGCUUAAGGUUUUAGUUGAAAUUUUAACAGUAGCACCCACCUCUACUCCUCUUUUAGCUCCAAAAUUAUUUCCAAAUUUUUCUUUGCCUCUCUCUUCUCUGUCAUAUGAGCUUUGCUGACCCUUUAAUGAUGCAUGGGGUGAUGUCAAAACAACAAGACCACAAUGAGUAUUUCAAUGAAAAUGCGUUGAUGAUGAUCUUCUUAAUCCUGAAUUCUGAUAUGAUAAAUGACAGAUUUAGUGGACAGAAGAAACACUAGUACUACUUAAAUAAAGAAUUCAGUGUAGCAUUACAUUUUGUAUUGAGCAAUUUGAGAAUUCAUCAUAACCACCAUCCCAACAAAGUAAAACCAAAGGAAGUUUCCCACAGAACUGCAUCCACUUUGAAGUUUGAAAAGAAGUCUUACUGUGGUAUAAGUUAUAUAACAAGUGAUCAUUGUGGGCUGUGGAAAAUCCCAAAAGAUAGGUUAAAAGCAAUCACCAUUGGUGCCUAUGUGUUUGUGCUUCUCAGUACAUAUCAAUGAAUCAGUUUCGCUCUCAAUUUCAAGUCAAUAUUGGGAUGUAGUGAUUCAUGAUAACCUGGGUUUUGUCAUAGCACUGAAUCAUGAAUUCAUUUCUUGUUAAUUGUAUUGGGACUUGGAAAGAGAUUCCCAUCAUUCCCUUGGUUCUUGGAGAUUCUUCUCUAAUCCUCCAUUUCCUAUAAUUAAUUACAGAAAAGGAGAAGUCAAGGGAGACAAACUUCGAAUCUUUUUAGAAAGAUGGUGGGGAAGGGUGAAAGAAAGAAAAGUAACCAGACCAGGAGGGUUUCUGGGAAGACUGGGAAGGCCACCACCAACCCACUCAGCCUCAACCACGUCUGGUACAAUGUGGAAAAGAAUUACUAAAAAAAAGUGGCACAUGGCAUCGUAUGAUUUCAACCAAUGGCUUGUAAUCAUGGACCCCCACCCUUGGAGGCGGCCGCAGCCGCCUUCACCAGCACCACCGCCACCAGCACCACCACCAUAGAGUUGGGUGAACGUGACAUUCACUCACAUUAACAUCAUUGCGGAUCUCUAUCUGAUGAUCUUAUAAAGACGAAUCUUUUUAAUAAAAUCAUCUCACACGUGCCUCACACUUUUAAUUUUUACUCCUGAUAUUAUUUUAAGAUGGAGGUGGAUGAAUAGGGAACUAGUCCCUUUUACCGUUUGGGAAAUUGCAUGCCAUGGCAAAUUGGCAAUGGUGCACUUCUCCACCAUCAAUAUUGGAGGGUAGGGGGCUAUCGAUUAAAAAGGAUGGUCACUAGACGCCAAACCCAAAUAUGGAAACUGUUUAGAUUUCUAACAAAAGGGUCCCUACCCCACAAAGAGAGGUCACCUUAUUGGUAGUUGUGGUCCUAACCCUAAGCCCCCGCCAUCUGAUCACUUCAUCAAAGGCCUAUCACCCAUAACUUUGUGUCAGAUCAGAUAGGAGAGGACCUUCUACAACUUGGGUUGGGUGGUCCAGGCAGUUCACACUUGUCUCUUAUCAGUUGAGAUCAGGGAGGAGCACUUUGGGUGCAGGUGAUGAGAGUACAUGUGGUCCAGUGUAUGCAAAUCCAUCUAAGAGUAGCUUCAAUUAUUUAACUAGAAAAGUUCAACAGCAACAAGUGAAUAAUCUUUGAGGAGACAAGGAUAAAGCCAUUGUUUAAAUUCCUGCUGUUUUGCAUUGAGAAGUAGAGAAAGUUACAUAGUGGAGGAGGGGACUCGUAUAUUUGAAUUCCAAAUACAUACAUAUGGAGUCCCGCCUUCCUUCUGAGACAGUAAAAAAAAAAAAGCAACAUGAAACUACGGUACAACAACAAUGACAAUAACAGUAACAGUGACAUCCCUUUAGGCUUGUUAUGAACAUCAACAAGAAUUGAAGUCCUGAUGAGAUCUUCCCUUGUUAUAGAAAUGCUUAUUAACUGCAAUUCUUGUAAAUCAGUAGCUAGUCUUGAAGGGCUUGUAAACCUUGAGGUCAAGAAUAACCCCUGCAACUGAGCCAGCAGCCGCAGCAAUGGAAAUAAUUAGGCAAGCAAAGCUGAGGAUUUGGAGGCAAAGCCAUCUGGUACUCCAUUUUGGGAUCUUCUUCUGUGCAAUAUACAUCUCCACUGGGAAAUAUACUGUCAAAGGCCAAAAUCCAAAGGCCCCAAGGAUUCCAACUACGUCAUUGAAGAAUGGCAUGAGCAUGGAUAUGACUGUGGUUAUUAUCACAAAAAUUGUUCGCCAAACCAGGCGGAAGAGGUUGAGAUUGUAAGGCUUGAAACCCGGAAUUGGGAUUUUGAUUUCCUUGGUGAUGAACUGGCUAUCAGGGAACUUCUCUGCUGCCCAUUUUUCAAUGAAGGCGAAGAGGGGCUGGCAGUAGACUUGGUAUGCUCCAACAAGAUGGAUAACUAUUGCUGCGUUUGCUAUAUCAAGAAGCCAAUACGGGUUAUAGAAGCCAAAGCCAGUGAGGAGGUUUCCAGGGGCCAGGUCUCCAAAAGCAGCAUAGCCCAUGCAGCCACAGAGCAUGUAAAACAGUGUGGUCACUAUAACACUAAGAAGAGUGGCCUUCUUCAUUGUCUUCUUCUCUGAUGGAGGAGAUUUGAUUGUGUCCUGUUAUUUAAUAAAUCAGAUAGUUCAAUAUAUAAAAGAACCACCUGUUUGAUGAAUUCAGUAUAAAUAAAUAAAAAAAGGAUCUGUACCUGAAUCUCAAUGAGGAUGAUGGAGUAAGAGUAGGCAAAAGCUAUGUUCCCAAGUGCUUGGAAGCUCCUCCAUAUUUUUUGAGUUUGUGUGACAGUGCCAAUGCUAAUCCCAGUGAGACUUCCUCUAAAUUUUCCACUUUCUGGACAAUAAGGGGGGAAAAUAGCUCAAGUUAGUUAUGUUAGAAUUCAUCAAACUGACCAAAUUCAGUUUAGGCUCCAGAUUAUAUGAUCAGAAAUUCUAGGUAAGUUGUUUGUACCUGCAACUUUAGCGACUCCAAGGCCUAGACCGAUUGUGGAGUAAGCAAAGGACAUGAUUGCUGCAACAAUGGAAAGCCACCAUAUCUGAUCAAAGUCUGGUAUUUGAGAGAGAAUGAUUUCAAAGAUCCCAAACAUGAUCAUAUAUGGAUUGCUUGAAAUGUGGCAUGGAUUUUUGUCAUGACUCUCGUGGAAGCAGUUUGAUCUUUUGAUUGCCCUGUGUCGUUAAAACCCAGCAAAAAACAAAAUUAAUCCAACAACUUCCAUGCAAAGAAAUCAAACAUCAUUGAACUCUUGAUUCAAACUUCAAACUCACAUCAUGCUUAUAGAUGCUGCAAUGGUGUAGCCAAUGGCCACUCCAAAAAGGUUCAGGUACUGAAUUAGCCCACAUAUCUUCAUCUUAGCUCCACCUAAGAAGAUCAAAAAACCACCAAAUAGAGAUCAGAAUUUAGGCUUCUGAAAGGUGCUCACAAGCUGAUUCAACCCAAAUUUCUCGUAUAACAAACGUACCAAGAUUGGAACGAACAGCAUCCAUGUAAGUAUAGUUUCUCUUGCCAGUCACAGAGUCACCCGUACGGUAGCAAGAAGAAAGAAGAACUGAGGUGUAGUAAGUUACAAAUGAGAACAAGAAGAGCACAGCAGGGCCAGCAAUCCAUCCAAGCUGAGCAGUGGCCCAGGCCAAGGAGAGGACACCCGACCCAAUCACAGCUGUUAUUAUGUGAGCACUAGCAGUCCAGAAAGUACCUGUUUGGCAUAUAACAUGAGAAAAUGAGCUUAACAAUUCUUUAAAAAAAAUAAUAAUAAAUAAAUAAAUAAAAACACAUAAUUUGGAUAACUUUGUUGAGGGAUAUAGAAAGUUACCAGUCCUCUUGAGACGGCCAUCAUCAUCGAAGCACUUGGAGGCACCUUGAGGUACCCCAUCGAUGUCGAAGACUUGGUGUGGUUGCAGGUCCUUCGGGGCGGAGCUCAUCUUUUGUUAUGAAAGAGACCAACACAGAUGAUCUUUAAUUUCUGAGUGAGGUAUAUAAAAAGAAAGGCCACUGGUGCCUUAUUGAAUGGUCUUAAAGUUUGUGCACAGAAAAUUGAAAUGAAAUCGUAACAAGUGAAAACAGGGAUAGAUGGGAAGAGAGAGAGAGAGGCGUUCUUCCUUAUCACUCUAGCUAGCUGUUUAUCGGUGAUAUUUACUCACUGGCACUGAGACUGACACCCUUCCCAAGACUCACAAAGACCCAAAUGGACCAACAGAGGUGGGUGUGGUAGAAUCAAACUCAGAACCCAACCCACAGACACACAGUUUGCGUUCGGACUUCAGAGAGCUCUCUCCCUUGCAGUGGAGAGUGCGAGCUGAGAGUGAAUUGAAUUGGAUGCUAAGAUGAAGGGGAAGGACUGGGGUAUAUAUAAUAUAAGUGGGUGCGAUUAAGGAAGAAAAAGAAAAAGUGAUGUGAAACCACGUGUUCCAAACGACCCCCCCCAAGACGACGCGGGAGGUCAACGACCGGCGGAUUUAAACGGGUCCCCAAACACACCCACUCACAGCCACAGCCACAACCACUGAACCGCUUUUGGCUCCAGGCAGCUUCAUGGAUGCCUCUCACCUCCCCUAAAAAUCUCCUAAUAAAUUUCUGAGUAUGUGUUGUUUCACCCCCACGGCCCCCUCCAACACAACUUGCACACGCUUCUCCUUUUCAAAUCUAAUACGCAAUUGCAUUUGUAACAGACACACCACGAAGUCGCCCCUUGAGGCCCCCCACCCCCGCCCCCCUUUUUUUAUUUUUUUGUAUAUUUUGUCAUUAAUACGCAAAGGGUGAGGGUGUCACCUAAAAAAGUAACAUUUGUAAAACCCUUUUUAUCACACAUCUUUUGAUUCUUCGACCUCAACUUAAUUUAUUUUUUUACUAUAUAAAAAAAAAGUGAAAAUUUGUUGGAUGAAAAAUGUGAGAAUUCCUUUUAUAAUAAAAACAAUUUUCAGUUGAGCAAAUCGGUUUGGCAUAAUGCAAAGCUUAACAUUGAUAAUCUUUCAAAAAAACAUGUUCAACCAAAAAAUUAUAAUAAAUCAUAAAAAUGUAAAAAAGUUAUCGGUAAGUUAUUAUUAAUAUAUAUCAUUGGUUCACUAUGUAACAAUAUUCUUAUGUUGUUAAAAUCCCGAUAUGUAUUUUUUAAGAAAAGUUGAAUUAAAUUUCAUCUAUUUAGGAAACAAGGAAGUACUUGACAGAAGAAACUAAUACUCGGAAAGAUUGAUAAUCAAAAGAAGAAAAAGAAAAGAAGCAUUAUAAGUCUCAUACCUUCAUUAACCACACGUCUCUUCCUUGUUGGAUGAAAUAUUAGAGCACAAAAAGAGAAGAGGAAAGCUAGUUGUGGGGAGUGUGUUGGACGAGGGUGGAGUAUAUAUAGGGGAGAAGAAAGGAGGUGAAGCAAUAUUUUGAAUAAAAUAUCUUUAAAAUGCCACCUUAGAAUCAAGAUCCUCACGUGUAUGGGCUCUCCUCCAUUCUUGCUGAAAGGCAAGGAAUAAGGUUCUUUCAACAGUGUUCAUGAAUGUAACAGCUGGGUGCAGAAGCAACUGAGAGAAAGGAUAUCAUUUUCAGUCAAAAAAAAAUGGUUCUAUAAUAAUCCAGCCAUAGUCUUAGCACUUAUGCCCUUUAAUAAUUAUCUGCACAAAUCAUUUCUAUUCAUGGAUGGACAAAUAGCAUCUUAUUCCCUCUUAAUUGUUCCCUAAGACUGAGGAAAGAAAGGUCAUUAGCCAAAGGCACUUGGCUCUUUAGAAUCAGUAUCUCUCUAUUCUGAUAUCCUCCUCCUUCUCCCUCUCAUUCUGCCUUCUCUUUUUUUUUUCUUUAAUUUCUUUGUACUUACAAUAAAAAAUUUAAAUACUAAACAACGCUCAAUUUAAAUAUAAUACAUAAAACACAAGGGUCUGAUACCAUGUUAAGUUAUUAAAUUGAUUAUAAAUUCAACGAUUAAGUAAUGAUGGGUUUGUGACUUUAACCACCGGCAACAUCAAUUCAAGACCAAAAUUAAAUGAGGGUGAAAAGGCAGCUAAUGGAGGUGUGAGGGGUGGCUCAAAAGUUGUACCUCCAAGUGCCACCAAUUUAGAGUUAAAACAUUAUAUUUCCACUAAAAAGAUUGCCCCAUUAACAAAAUGCAUGGCCCAAUGAUUACCCAUUAAAAAUUUUAAAUUAAUAAACUUAGGCUAAAAUUGGUAUAUUUCAUUUUGUCCCUACACGUGGUGAAACACCCAACCCACAUUUUGGGUUCUCAAGUGCAAGGCCACUUGCUAUAGACACAAACCCUAAGUUCAUGUAACGAAAUUUUAAAUUUUCAAAUAUUCUAAUCCAAAAGCCUAGGUCUAAAUGUUUUAGCUACUUGAUUUUGAUGUAACCCUUGUGGCCUCUAUUGCAUAAAUUUCCUAGAAGGAACUAUAUAUCUAUAUAAAGCAGUUUCAUGCUUUGACCAUCUCAAUAUGUAGUUGGGUUCACUAAAAAGGAUUAAAGUUCAUUACAUGUGGGGAAUGAAUCCAAUUUUUAGAAGAAAAUUUCAACAUGGGUUUCCCUUCUUUAGAAUCAGUGUUCAACUUACUCACGGAUUAAUGAACCCUAAUCAAUCACAUGGCCUCACUUCCAAUUAAUUGGUCGAGGACCAUGUGAUAUAAAGGACAAAACCCAAUGUUAUCAUGCAAUAGGAAAUAAAGUUUGAUUAAAAUUAUCAAACAAGAAUCAUAUAUGCCAAACACUAUUGUUAGGUUAAACUUAAUGUUACAAAUAAGACAAUGAGACAUGUCUUAAUGUUUUCAUCAUGUUAAUAAUUUUUGGUCCGUGACAAAUAAAAUAAUUGAACGGAUAAUAAAAAAUUUGAAAUACAACAUAUGGAUAAUUAUCAUCUAACUUUAAAUCCAAGGAAUAUAAUAUGUUAAAUUAUCAUUCCACCUCAGAAUCAAUAUAACUUUGAAUAAACUUACCAUAAUUCCAUAUCAAACCAUAUUAAUAAUAUCUUGAUUUUAGAAUUCUAAAUUCAUUUUUGUCUCCGAUAAAAUUUAAUUUUUAAUAAUAAAAUAAGCAGAAAUACAAAUAAUUAGUACUUUGCCGUGAUUAAAUUUUAUACUUUUAAAAGACUAUCUUUAAAAUAUUUUUGUUAAAUACAAAGAUAAUUAUGAUAUUUUUAAAAUUUGUAAUCAAAUAAAAAUAAGCUUCUCUCACCUCAUAGAGGAAGCAUAGGUUUCUAAACUUCUUUAAAACCCGAUAAAUUACAUUUAGAAGUAUAAGACCCAUGAUUCAGAAUUUCAUUUGAACAUUCUUAAAAAUUAUAUUUAACCAUUAAAUAUUACUUUUAAUGUUUGAAAAGCUCUAUCGACUUGAAUCAUUGAAGCCUUCACCAAUAAUAUUGAGGACUUCCUGAUGAUGACUUGAGCUCAAUUUUUUUAUAAUCCCUUUUAAAAGAUCUUUCUUAAAAAGUGUGUUACCAACGGUUGAAAAUCUUGCCAAUAUCUUUUUAAUUAAUUAAUUAAUACUCCUUCCUUGGUGAGGCCUAUCACAAAAACGACUGGCCGACCUGGGAAGUUAAGAUAUGUAUUACAAAUUCAAUUUCAAGAGAAGUAGUCCAUCAACUCCUGCUUAAGAUACCAUGGGUCUUGAGAAAGAAGAUCAAACCAACAAGAGGGACUAUUAGUCAAAAAGGUCUAGGCAUAGCUGAAAUGUUUGAACAUUCGAUAUUCAACUUUGAGGGUAGACACUGACCCCCCACCUUUAUCUCCUCUCUUUUUUCACCAUAGAAUAUAAAACACCCAUAUGGAGUGUGUUUGUCUCAUUCAAACAAGAAUAAAAUAAAAAUAAAAAUGAAAGAUAACCCAUGAUGUAAAUCCAAAUUUUGAUGAGAAUAAGCUUUAUUCUUCAAUUUUAUGAAAAUGGAAAUUAGGGGUAUGUUUGAUAAUAGUUUUUGAAUUAUUAUCUAAUAUUUCAUAAAAUAAAAGUUUAUUUGAAAUUUUAAAAUAUUUUAAAUUUAUUUUUAAUAUUUUUAAAUAUAUUUUAAAAAUAUUUUUUAUGUCUAAUACUUUAUUUUUAAUCAUUUUACAUAUUUUAUAUAAUUAUUUUUUUAAACAAUCAUAAAAAGGAGAUAUUGUCUAAAAACACUCGUUGAAAACAGUUUUUAAUCAUUACACGUGUUUUCCUAUUUUUGAAUGAGAGAAAACUGUUCUCGGCCCUAGAUAAUAUUUUCAUUUUUUUUAAUUUUUCUUUCAACUCCCCUGAGUAUAUUCUUUAAGUAUUUGUUAAGAGAAAAAGAUUCAUUUUGUACUUACUACCAAAAAAAAAAAAAAAAAAAAACAGAGACAAAAAGAAGCCUAAGUUAAGAUGAACCUUUACAUCCUGGGUUUUUUUUUUUCUUUUCUUUUCUUUUGUGGAUAGGGACUGAUCUUGGUCUUAAAGUUUAAAAAGGGCAUUAGGUGGUGAAAAAUAUCUCCAUAUUGCCAGUACUUUUUUCAAUUGGCUUUAUCUUCUUCAACCUUCAACAUCCCCAACCCAGAAUAAUGUUUUUCAAAUUCGAUGUGAAGUUGCGACUGGUCGCCGAAUUCGAAUGAGGGCAUGUGAAUUAGAAUCCAGGAUAAGAAGCUUUGGGUGGGCAGCUUUAUUAUAAUGGUCCUUUGAAAUUAGAGAAAAUGACACCCAUUUAUAAAUUCCUUACUUGUUAAAAUUUGGCUCUAGCUAGGAUUUAAGUAUGAGAUGGGGCUUGGCUUCCAAUGCAUAUCUUCUUUCCUUGUCUCGGCCCUCCUUCAAAAAUCAUGAAAGUUCCACCAUAAAUGCAUAUGGAAGUUCAUUAUUGAAUGCGACAUACAUUUAUUGGGCAACAAAAUUGGUACCAUCUGCCCUAGUGUGAACGGCAGUGAUGGGGUAAUGUCAUGUGUUUUGACUAAAAUGUGGAACCACUCCCAUUGAAUACUGCAAUUAUUGUUGGAGAAUUUCUAUUGUCAAGCCCUUGAAUGCAACCUUCUAACUUCCUUUGAAAUUUUGUUCAUUUUAAAUCAUUUGUAGAGGAGAAAAAUAAUUGUCUCAUCCCCUGUUUUCAAAGCCCCUUUUGUUUUGGUUCAAUUGAGUACAAUGGGGUGUACACCUUGGAAUAUUCCCCUCCCUAUGAGACUUAAAUUAGUCAAAAAAAUUUAUUAUUUUCAAAAUAUUUGAAUUUGUCAAGACCAAAUUUCUUCAAAGGUAUGAAGAACUUUGAGAAAUUCAAGCAUGAAGGAUGUUGACUGUGUGGCAAUAAGUGUCUUCAAUAAUUAAAGCUCACAUCAUCUCUACCUCACAAGUUCAUCAAAUUUAUUCUAGUGGGGCUUAUCAGAACUGAAAAUACCUUGUCUUUUAUACCCAUUUCUAGGAUAUGGAAGCAUAUGGAAAAAUAUUGCUUGAAAUUAUAGAUGAUAAUGGAGAUGGUACCACAAGUAAUUGCUUUAUGAAGGACAACUUGGAGUUAGCAACUAGGAGAUGGGUACAAGUUUUUGGACCAUUCCUAGGAUGAAGAAGAAUCACUAUUUAAAAAUAUUACAAUAAAAAUAAGAUGAUCUUUUUUUCUUUUUCUAUAUAUAUAUAUAUAUAUAUAUAUAUAUAUAUAUAUAUAAAAGAAACUCAUUUUUCUUGUAAAUAAAAUUUCAUAAAAUAUUCUUAAAGCAUCAAUACUUUUUCCAUAAACUUGUGUAGGCAUAUUCUCAUCCUCUUACAAAAGUGGAUGAAAAAUAAGUGUGGUGAUAUGUUGAUAACCAAAAAUAGGGGGGGAGAAACUUCACUUUGAAGCUUUAAUAAAUUGGUGUCUUAAUUAAUUCUUCUUAGAGUUUGUUCAUUGUUCAUUGUUGGGAUUUCUUUUCAAUAAUGGAUUUUUUUUUUCUUGAAUGAUGAUUUUUAUAUUGUUGAUUUAAAAGAAAGAGUCAACAAUAAAAAUAUUUAAAACCCAAAAGAACAUUAAGGUCUAAAGAUACCAAAGGCAUGUUUGGUUGCUCAUUUUUUAGAACAAUUUUUUAAAAUUAUUUUUUAAUGUUUUGUAAAACAAAAAUAUGUUUGAAAACUUAAAAUAUUUUUAGCAUAUGUUUAAAUAUGUUUUUAAAAUAAUUUUUAUAUCUAAUGUUUUGUUUUUAAUCAUUCUAUAUGUUUAUAUAAUUAUUUUUUUAAAUAGUCAUUAAAAAACAAAUAAAAAUAAAAGAAAAUAACUAAAAGAUGAUUUUUAAUAACAUGUUUUGAUUGUCAAAUGUAUUUUUUUUAUUUUUUGUUUUUUAAAAAAAAAAAACUAUUUUCGUUAUGAAACGAAUCCCAAAUCUCCAUUUUACAAAAUUCAACAAUAGAAAAAAUCAAUCUUUGAUUUAAGCCUAUAUUAUUUUAUUUUUAUUUUAUAUUAUAUAUAAGAUAAUUAUAUAUAUAUUAGGUAGGAAAUUAAAGAUAUAUUUUCAUAAAGAUGUAAUAAAGUCUCAAGACAUGGUAUUUUAUUAUUAUUUAAAAUUUUAUGACUCGUACCACAAUUAAAAAUAUAAGUAGACUUUGAAAUAUGAAUGUUUUCUUUAUUAAAUUCAAAAUAUGUUUUACUUUGACCCCAUUGAUCUUCCUCAACAAAGAUUAUUUUCCUAAAAUUUUCUUUAAUAGUGAAAAUUUUCAAUUUUUUGAAUUGUGUAUGAAAUAAAUUUUUUGACCUCUUUAUGGAUGUAGGCAGGUUUAUUAUUUUUAUUUUUUUUUUUAAAUAUCAAAACUAAAGAAGAAUAUAUAUUUUUUUGAAUAAUAAAAACUAGAAAGAAAAUCAAUAUUGGUAUAGAAAAUAGAAUUGAAAAUAAAAUACUAUUAAUAGAAAGAAAAAAAAAGGAAAAGUAGUAUAGAAAAAUAGAAUUAAAAACAAAAUCCUAUAAAUAGAAAGGCAAACACUAGGUAACAAUAAGUUAAUAACUUAAUAACGCUACAUUACAGUGAAUAGUAUACGCGUAUGAGAAUUGAAUACUCGCCAUCACAGCCGCCCAAGCCUUCGUCCUCAUUAGACGGUAGCAAGACAGUCAACGAACAUGGGGUGGGGGAAUUAGGGACCCACUCGAGACCAUUGGGCUUUUGUCCUUUAAUGGGUUCGGCAGUCAACUCUGGCCGUCUAUUAUUGGGCUCCUUUUUUCCGCAUCCCAGCCCACUGAUGGCGACUCUUUCUUUGUAUUUAUUGUUUUUUAUACCCACUGGUUGAGCCCAGUUUUGAAAUUUUGGGCACGUGUAGUUGACGAUUUACUAAACUGCCAUUGGUCGUCUCGCCUGGGGUGACUCGUUUGUUGACUCACCUGCUCACGCGGCGAAUGGCCCUGGACCGAGUAUGUCUGUUUCAUAUCAUUGUCACACUAACUUCGUCAGUGUGUCGCACAUUUCACAUGCAAAGCCAAAGCAUGUGGUAAUGUUUUGCAACUUGGUAAAUUCCAGUCGUACUCAUAAACCAUCACACAAUUAGAUUAUAAUUAUUCCUAAAAUAUCCAUGCAACUCUGAUCACUUUCUUUAACCGCUCUUACAACUGGACUUAGUUUAAUAGCAAAAAUCUGAUAAGAAAAUGACAGGAGUUCAUAAAUCCAUUUUCCAGAAGAUUUAGGGAACAUUACAAAGAUGAUAUUUUUAAAGGCAUUGCAAGCAUGCGGGUACUUGAUAAGUAGGAAGAAAGAAAACCAACUUUUGACUAGAAAGGAAAAGGAGAUUUCAUCAUGUGAUGAUGUACAAAGGAGAUCUGCCAGUACAAUCCCACACGCUUUUAGGCUUCUAACUUUGCAAGGAUAAGCCCAACUCCAGAGAAAGAUCUUCACCACCUAACCGAUUGGUAUACCUUUCUUAGAUUUAUACACAUGGGCAUGCCUGGUAUCGAGAUUUGGCAUAAGGGGAAAAAGGGUUAUCGUUUGACCCCUGAAACCUGCCACAUUGCAGAAUGAACCAGAGAUCACUAGCUUUUUCUCUCCAUUGUAUCUGUUUGUUGGGUUAAAAAAACCAAGGUCUAGAACCUCUGUUAUAGCCAAGAACUUUGGGAACAAGAGAUUCAUGGCACAAACCAUCUUGGAAAGGAGAUGCAGGAGUUAACAGAAACUAUGUGUACCAUCAAAUUAUCGGAAGCAACUUUGUACACUAUGAAACAUUGAAGAAACAUCUGAUGAAUACAUUCAAUGAAUGAAUAACAGUCAUGGAUUUGGGAUAGCACAACAUUAGGGAAUUCCUUUUAAACCGUCCCCUUCUGAUGUUACAUGGAGAGUAAGAGAAUUUUGGAACUUCUAGCCCAUGCCCUGGUGCCAAUGGGUUAAUUGUACGUAAGUCUGUAUACAUGUGUGACAAAUCUUCCAAUUAUGUUUUUGAUAGGAAGGGGUCCCCUGUUGAUCAAAGAAGGGCAAAGUUAGUUUUCUCAAAUAUCAAGUUAAUAGAGCUUGUAGAGGAAGCAUUUGAUUAUGGGUAAAAAGGAUAUUGUACAUCACAGGCAGUUUUUUAAGGGAAAUAAGGCCCCUCUGUUAGGGGAAUUUUCCAUGGAUGAUCAAAUGAGAUGAGUCGUUCAAAAAAAUGAUGAAUUGUGGGAGGUGAGAAUACUAACCAUUCAUGAGAGUCAGAGCUGUUAUUGCGGUUGUCACCCAACACAAAAACAUGAUCUUUAGGAACAUACUGCAAACACAAAGCAAGGUGAAAUUUUGCAUAAAGCAGCAACAGUUCUGGAUUGCAGCCUCCAAGAGAGAGUUGAGAAGAAUGGAGGGAGCAGACCGAGCAUAUGGUGUACCGUCUGAGGCUCAUGAUGAUCCCAAAUGCAAACAAAUGGGAAUCGUGAAGCUUUCAGAUGUCAACAACAUGGAGUCAGCCAGGCUUCUUCAUGUCCACACCCUUUAUACCUUAUCCAGUGACAAGGUGAACAGAUUGCAUGGAGAAUUUAACUGGCUUUUUACAAAUCAUUUGCCCUUGGCAGUUCGAACCCCGUAAUGUUGUUCAAGAACACACUUUGCUGGCACAAUAGUGUAGUCCAAUUGAAAUAUAAAAAGGGACAGAUGGGGAGCUCACGGUUAAGUCCAAUAUGUAAUUUGGCUGCUCUAAGAUAAAAUCUUCAGUCUGGACAUCCCCAUUGACAUAAAGGGACCCAUCCCGAACCUGUACAAAACCAGAAGAAAACAAUUUAUGGAAAGCACCUCCAAUUGUUACAGGUCCCAUAGAUACAUUGGAUUGUUAUGUAGUACAAAGUUCAAUUCUCAAGUGAACUAGGCUCAAUGCCAUAUCAUUUAUAAAUGGCAGGCUACACAUGAUCUAGUUGACAGGAGGGGGGUUAGCAGAAAUCUCCAAUGAGACAGAUACCGAAAAGAUGAUUGCAAGAGCACCUCUCAUUUGUCAAUUCUAACCACAAGCUCCAUAACACAUAAAGACAGUUAUGUAAAAGAGUUGCACCAGAGAAAAAAAAAAUAACAAUCAAAGUGAAGUAGAGAAAAGGUUUUGUCAGCUUCUUGGGAGAGAGAAAGUAAUAAAUGUAAUAAUAAGGACAGGAUUGCAAGUUAAGAAACCAUCAUACCUCAACCAAGUCUCCUGCUCUUGCAACAACCCUCUUAAUAAAGAUUUCAUCUUCACUGUGUCCUGGUAGCUGUGGACAACCAAGAACAUAACAAAUUUCAAUGAAAGACUUGAGUGGAGUGAAGUGCAGAUAUGCAGUCAAGUUUUCUGCAAUGUGGACAAACCCGUACUGGAGCUCUGAAAGUUACAAUUUCAUGAAUAGCAGGACGUCUGAAAUAAUAUGACACCUGGAGAGGUUGGAAGAAAGCAUCCUUAGUGUUAAGGAACCAAAUGGCAAUAACCAUGACAAUUAUCACAAGCAUGAUCUUAAAAUUAGAAGCGCAUAAUCUAAUACAAGAUACUACCAAUCAAUUUUUAAUGCCAAUACACUUAGAGAGCUGGCAGCACAACCAUUGGCAACCAGUAUAUGUUCUGAAUUUCAAAGUUCACAAACCUCCAGAUAGAGCAAACAGCUGAAAAAUCCAUCUUCCAGCGGCUUUCUGAGAAAACUGAAUAUUGAUUGAUAUCUAGACUGAUUAAGAACAUAAAAUUUUUUGAAGUGGCCCAUGCUUGUGUAAUUCACAAGUCAUGCUUCUAGAUCAAAUGGCAGUGCCUGUAAAUUUCUUCUCAGACUACUGGGAUGCUUCCAAGAAGUCAGAUGUUUUAAUAUUUACCACCAGUAUUUCAGAAUUCAGAUAUUUGUCCAAUUUCUAAUAGAAGGACACAUCCAUUGAAGUAAUAACAGUAGUUCCUCUUGCACUUUUCUUCCACAUUAUUUAUUCUUGUUAUUCUUAAACUUAGCUGUCAUAAAUUCAUAAUCCAACAUUUCCUUCUUUCCCAGGUUGGUUCUUUCAGAACUUGUGGAGAAGAAGUAUGGUGUAGGUUUUUAGCUCAUGUAGGUUUUUAAGAAAAUAAGUUCUAAACCAGUUUUCUGAAAAUAUAAUAAUAAUGAUAUAGAGGGGCACAAAAGCACAAGUUGUUGUGACCCCAAAGGUGAAAAAAUGAAUACAACACCAAAUGGAAAGAAGAUGCUCAAAAAAGAUCAAUAUACUAAAUUAAACAGGAUUGAGGGAGGGGUAGAGGAGGAGAGUGAGGGAGUAAAAAAGAAUAUAAUGAUAUAGUGGAGGGCAAAAAGCAUGAGAAGUUGGAACAACAAAGGCAAGAGAAUGAACAAAAAUAGAGGACAAAAUAAUAAAAAAUAUACCAAAGAGAAAAAAUAAAUAAAUUGAGAGGGAGGAAGGAUGGGUUGGGGAGGAGGAAGAGAGAGAGAGAGAGAGAGAGAGAGAUGGAAAAGUGGAAAUAAUAGACCGUUUGAUAAAAAGAACCGAAAGAGCAACAUCUUUAGAAAUGGCUCAAUAGUCACUCUCCACAAGUUCAUCAAACAUAUAUAUAUUGUCUUCACUCAAGCCACUUCUAAGUAUUCCCACAAGGGAAAACAGUUUGAUAAGUAUCUACAGGACUACAAAUCAAACACAGAACAGAUCGCUAGAAAAUGCAGCCUCAUGAUUUGUAGCCAUAUUCCAGAGACAUGAGAAAAUGAGGGAAAUUAUUAACUUCCUAUUUGCAGAGGCAUCCAAGAGCAACAAUCAGUUGGAUUGAUUUUAUCCCCUCACAAAAUCAUCAAUGAUGUGGCACAGACUUCAACAAUCAGCGGUCUAACUUGCCCAAUAACUUCAUUUCUAUUAUGUAAUUGCAAAAACAGAACAACUAAAACCAUUUAAUGAUUUCCAACUUGAAAGAGAGUGCACUAAAAUAUGAAAGAGAAUAAUGAGAGUAAUUUUUUUCCCUUUUUAGUCAAAAUAUCAAUUCCAAUAGGAUAGUAAUGGGUUAAGUCUCACGAAUAACAAUUUAAUUUGUACAAACUAGCUGUACAAGUUGCCAAAUAACUCAUCAAUGACAUAAUGAUGAAGAAAAUAUAAUUAGAACAAUUGACUCCCAGAAGAUAUAUGGAAACUAAUGACUCAAACAAUGAUGAAGGAGAAGAGAAGACAUCAUAAAUUUACCAGCUCCAGAAGGAAGUGCUUACAGGUCCUUACAGGUCCUUCUAGUCACUUCUUUUUCCAGGUAUGUGUAAGUUUGUUAGAAAGAAAGGAGCAAAAGUAGAAUGCCCACAAGUCGGUGCAGUCAUUUCCUUUUUGUCGUAUGCACAUGUUCUCUAGAGUGAGGGAGAGAGAUAGAGAUCUCACAGCUUAGGGUAUUCUCUUACAACUUACAAGGAAAUAAGUCCAUUCACAUGCCAGCCUUAAGGGUCAUUUAGUUUAGAAUAUGGGAGUUUUAACUCCCAAAGAAAGGAACUUGUUCCAAUAAAAGACGAUAAAAGAAACAAAUGAAAUAUAUCCAAAAUCACAAGAGUAUGUUGAAACAAAAAUCUAAGUGAUUGAAAAUAAAAAGUUGAGGUUGGGCAAAACUGAAAAAGAAAUGCACAAGCAUCAUUCCUUGUCCCCUUGAACCACACGUGAUACAUACUAGAUAUCACUCUCAGAAGUUAAGCAAACAGGUUUCACUCUCCAUGACAGAAACAUACAAUGAUUUGGAGUGAUUUCAUGCUAUAAUCCACUUGGAAGACAUAAGCACAGAUAACACAUCAAUUUCCAAAUCUGUCAAGUUAUGGCAAAAGUUCAAAGCCAAGGAUAGAGGAUGAUUAAAGGUCAAGAAUUGAAGAAAUAGGGGAGUCCAUAGACUUCGAAAUCAGAAAGAGAUAUAGACACUGAGUUGGAAGCCUUUGAUUAGCCACCUCACAUUUCCCAGAAAUGUGAAAAACUUCUACGACUAGAUACCCACCCACAAGAAAAGAUGUGAAAAACUCAAAGAUAUUUAUAAGAAAAAAACUAAUCAACAAUAAAUGAAAUCAAGAAUCCCAAUAAAAAUUUGUAAUUCAAUAUGAAGACUACAGAAAUCUAAUCACCAUUUAAUGGGUAUGUAGACUUCAUGAUUGCAAUCAUUAUAUGAUUAAACUACAAGUCAAACAAGUUACUGGUUUAGCAAUUUGGUAAAUCAAUGAAAACUUUUCAUCAAAUUUAUAAAGCUAAACGUAUGAUCUUCAAUACUAUUGCAUGCCUAAGUCCUUCCAAGAACACAACCAAUCAUGAACCCAAUUAACCUUUUUUUGGAAAAAAAACUACUUGCAACAUCAUUGACACACCAUAACAUGAACUCAGAUCAGAAAAAACAAAUGCUUAACUUUUACCUUUUCCACAACGAUUUCAUCACCGAAAAGAAGAGUAGGGUGCAUAGACAUGGACACUACAAAUCCAAUUUCUAUAUACCUUGACUUUAAAGCCAGUUUCAUCAAAAAUCUCAAAAAAUAAUUAGUCCAUAGCAAGAACUUCCAACUCUUGGACAGCACUCAUCAUGGGCAAGAAAGCAUGAUUGAAUGCAGGUAUGAACUAACUGCAGAGAUUGGAGAAGAAUCAAGAGAAAAGGAACAACAACAAUAAGGAAAAUUGAAAUGCUUGGUUUUGACUUCCAAGGGAUAAAAUGGUUUGAAGCACUGAUAGAAUUCAAAUACGAUGAAAAGAUCAGAUAAAGAGAGAGUGAGGUUAUGAGUGUUGAUGAAAUACACUAUUUUAUUUCAAUAGCAGCCGGGUGCUGAAUGAGAAGAAAGGUUGAAUGGCGAGUCUUGAGAAGUGCACAGAAGGAGGCCAGGACAAACAACAACAGGAAGAAGAACUACUACAGGCACAAUAUAUAGAGCUGUUUUGGGCCAACAUAAUUUUAGACUCCAUUUGGAUUGUGUAAAUUGCGAGGCAAGGAAUGAGAAAAAGGACAAUGUUAAGGAUGAGAAAAAUAAAAAAUAAGUCUUAAGCUUAAAUUCUUUCACCAACUUCUCCAGUUUUAUUCACCAUAUCAAAUUAAGAAUUUAAACAUGCAUAGAUUUUCAUAUGAUAUCAUUAUAUUUCAAUUUCUUCCCCAUUUUAUAUGGCAAAACAAACAAAAUUUAAAAUCCCUUCCUCUUUCCCUUAGUACUCCCUUGGAUCUAGAUUUGGCUGUUCUGGUGAAGGGGAAACCGGGUAUUCGUUGAGCAGGACUUUCUCAGUGAUCAUGGAGUUCGUUCAUGAGAAAACAAUUAUUCAAAAAAAAAUCCAAAGAUAAUUAGAAUUCAACACAAGGACUCCAAAAAUGUUCCCGUAUCCCUAUUUGAAGAUAACAUAAAAAAAAUAAAAAAAAUAAAAAAAAAACCACACCAAUAAGAACUAAUUCCUCGUCUCCGUGACUGCAAUCAAUCAUCUACCAAAAGUCAACCAGAGUUGGGAGGUCUCGAUUUCGAUGAAUCAAUGCAAAAAUCGUCAUCAAAAGUUUAAACCUAAAACUAUGGCAUUCACCUAGGCAUUUUGAAGAACACAUGGCAAUCACAAAUCCAAUUCACCAUAUACUUAAAAGAUCAAAAGACCACAUGAAACACCAAUAACGCUAACCAAAUACAUACCCUUUCCAUGAGGACUCGAUCUUGGACAUGAAGAGUGGGGUACAUAGAGGAGGAACGUAUGAAGCUAAUUUCCGUAAACGUUGACCACAGAAGCACCACCACUAAGCAUCUCAAAAGCCCAUCGAACCCAGGCCACCGAAGGAACUCCCAACUUUGACACGGCAUCCACUGUAGCCACGAGUGCAUGAACAGGAGCUGGUACAAGACAGAGGGUCUCAAGAAACUCAUUUUAAACUCGGAAAUCGGAGGGUUAGCAGUCGACUACGACGGAAGCGGUGAUCGUAUAAAGCUCCCAAUUUAGCGGGAGAGUGGAAGACAGUGGUAACAAAACUACGCUGUUUCAGUCCGAUGAUCAGAAGUUUGAACAACCGAUCAUCGUGAAAAUCACCGUCAGAAGAAGACGAAUGCUGUCGAACACACUGGAAUAGAGAGGGGAAGACAAGGAUCAACACCAGAUUAACCAAAUCAGCAACAGAAACAACAACCACAGGCAUAAUAUAUAGAGAGUUUUGGGGGUUUAUGAGAGGUUUUGAAUUUCGAGGAUAUGGGGAUUGCCAUGGUGGUCGUGGUUCAACAUCGAGAUUGUUAGUGAACAACAGCACGAAAAAAUGGGGUAAUGGGGAUUUGUUGACUAGGGUGUUUCUUGCUGGCUAAGUUUCUACUUUCGGAGGAUUUUGUCUGAAAGGCUGCUGACGUUGACUCACCCUCGUCACCUGGCUGACACCAUUGGUAGAGCCGUAGAGGCGCACAUUGGGCCAGACCCGGCCCAACUAGUCUUUGGGCUGCUAUGUGUUGAUGGUCCAUUUGGGAAUCCAUUUCUCAUUUUUUGUGAUUACUUCUUAGUUAUCUAUCCACUAAUUUAGUUCAAACAUCAGGGGAAAUGAAUAAAAUUAACUCAAUAUAUAAUUAAAAAAAUAUGUUUUAUUUUAAAAUUUUGGGAUGGUGUCGAGUUUAAUCAUCUCGCCUUUCCAUCAUAUUAACAUAAAUUUUUAUUUUGGCUUAGAACUAAGUACAAAUAUCACAAAAUUAAUUACAAUUUUUUUCGAUCAUCAUAUGAAAAAAAUUAUCAUUAUCAUUAUAAUGUUAAAAGUAUGGAUUCAUACAUACCAAUUAAUAUUUAAGAAGAAUCAUCUCAGCCUUUUUCUCAUUAUUAAGAAAAAUAUGCAUUUUCAACCUUCGAAAUUUGUAAAGUUAUUUGAUUAAUUUUUUUAUUCAUAGUGAAAAACAUAAUUUCCUUAGGUUGAAAAAUUUUAUUCAAAGGAUUCCUCGAUUGAUAGAAAAUUUAAACUAAAUUUUGAUGGAUUGACAUUAGAAAAAUAAAAAUGCAUCAAGAUAGAUGAUUAGAGGUUGUAAUUAGGUCAAUAAUUGUAUAUAUCUACCUCAAUUAAGUUUUUUUUUUAAAUAAAAAUAAUUCUUGAUGAACUAACCAAAAUACUAUUGAAGUUAACAUUAUAUAGAAUUAUACUACUAGACAUCCUUAAUUGUAAUAAAAACUAUACUUUCAAACAUUUCUAAGAGCGUUCAAAAUAAUAAUUUCAAAUAUGUUUUUAGUAUCCAACAUCGCAAGUUUGGAUGAAAUUAUUUUUUUUCUUUAAUUUAUUUUUCACUUUUUCAAAAUUAACUUUUAAAACACUUCUAAACUAUUCAUAACCAGGAUUUUUAAUUAUCUUUAUAAUAAUUUUUUUUUUGUCAAGAUUCAUAUAAAUCACAAGUCCUAAAAUAUAUUGAUGUGGUCCAAACAUUUAAAAAAAAUGUUGGAAUUAGUUUUAAAUGUAUUUUAAGUACUUUUUUGUUCAUUGACAAUUUUUUGAAGGAAAAAUUUUUGUUUUAAGUUAUAUUUGAUUUUUGGAAAAAUUGAGGGAAAAUAUGAAGAAAAUAAAAUAAAGUGAAAAAUUAAAAUGAAAUAAAAAAUAAAUUUAAAAUCAAUAAAUUAUUUUUAAAAGUUAUUUUAAAUUCACUUCACUUUGUGAAACCAAGGUUUGGUUAAUCUCGAUUUUGAUGAUAACAAAAAAAAGUUUAGAACUAAUGAUUAUGUUUCAAAUGUGAUUAAGAAAGACGAUUUCGAAAGUGGCAAUCACAAAGACAAAUCAAGUCAAAGAGAAAUCACGAAGAAGAAGAUCACCUCAAAGAAAAGUGUUUUUCAAUACCCAAACUUCAUAAGAUCUCUUUAUAAGGUUGUUGGUGCACUAGGAUUUCCAUGCAUUACAUUCUUUACUUAUACACCAAAAUCAUCCAAAAGUUAUUUUAUUUUAAAUAUUUUUAAAAUUGGAUGAUUUCAUAUUUUUAACUAAAACCUUGUGUCAAGUGUUUUUUCAAACUUGUUUAAAAGGUUUUAAGUUGAAAAAGUUUGUUGUUAAGCCAAAAACGAUUCAAUCAGUUGAACUGGAUGAAGAAUCGGUCGACCGUCAGCUCAACCGGUCGAGGUUCGGGUCGACCCCUAGCUCAACUGGUCAAGGGUGCAAGAAAACUUUCUCUUUAUUUCAGAACGGUUGUUCAACCGAUCAAGGUUGAACCUCAACUGGUUGAGGUCCGGUCGAGGUCCAACGGUCCAACGGUCGCCUACCAAGCAUUAAAUGCUAACGACUAGUCAAUCGUUCAACCCCUAGCUCGACCGAUCGAACCCCCAAUGGCUAGUUUGGUUUUUUUUUUUCUUCUAUAAAAAUGCUCUAAUCUUCAUUGUUUGAAUAACUUAAUUUUCCCAAACAUUUCUUGAAUAUAAUUGAGCCUUGGAAAAGUGUUUUGAGUGCACCAUUGUUCUAAAACUUGCAUAUCUUUAGUGCACCGUUCAAUCAUAAUUUUCUUGUAUCAUUUGAACUUAAAGUUUUUGUACUAGGAUUUUGUGAGAUCAAUUAUUUAUAUAUCUUUGAGAGGAAGAUUCUCGAGUGUGGGGUAUCACUUAAGGGGUUAUUCAAGAGUGAGAUAUCUCUUGAGGUUUGUAAAGGGUGCUUGGAGCCAAAAGUCCAAGAGAGUGGAUUGGAACCAUAAUCCAAUUGUAUUACUUGAAGGUUUGAAUUGGAAGCCUUGAAUUAGUGGAACCUCAAGCUUGAGAUUGAAGCUAGAGGAAAGUGGAUGUAAGCCGGGUUGCGCCGAACCACUAUAAAAUCUUGUGUUUGCAUUCUCUCUUCCCUACUCUUUUACUUUAUAUGCAAUUGUUUUUAUAUUGUUUUGUUUAUAUACUUGCAUAUAAUUGUCUCUUGCAUUCACAUUGUUUAUUUAUUUUUAUUUUUUAAAAAGACUAUCACCCUAUUUACCCCCCCUUUUAAGGUGAUUAUCAUAGAUUGAAUUAGCCUAAUUUUUUUAACAAUUGGUAUCAAAGCUAGGUUUCUUGUUUAAGACUUAAUCGUCUAAGAAGUAAUGGCUAAUCUAUCAAGUUCAUCUCACAUUGAAAGUUUUUCAACCACCCGACCUCCACUUUUCACGAGAACCAAUUAUUCCUAUUGGAAAACUAAAAUGACUAGGUUUUUCCAAUCUACUAAUCUUGAUUUAUGGGAUGCCAUUGAAGAUGAUCCCCACAUUCCUUCAAUAACUUGGUAUAUCUUUGAGAUAAAGAUUCUUAAGUGUGGGAUAUUACUUGAAGGGUUAUUCAAAAGUGAGAUAUCUCUUGAAGUUUGUAAAGGGUGCUUGGAGCCAAAAGUCCAAGAUGGUGGAUUGGAAAGUUUAAUUUUUUUUUUUUUUAAAAAAAAAAAACCAUCACCCUAUUCACCUCCCUUUAGGGUAAUUACCAUAAGUUGGAUUAGUUUAAUUUUUCUAACACACUUUUUUUUUUUAAUGUAAAGAUUAAAUAAUUUUAAAUUAUAUAAAUUUUAAUUAAUUUUAAUUAUAUUGAUUUUUUACCUACUUUUUCAAAGUGAAAUAAAACAUUAGAAAAUUAUUUUUCUUAACUUUUUCUUUUAUUUUCUUAGUAUUUUAUUGGAACCAAAUCUAACUUUAAAAAUUAUUUUUCAAAAAAUAAAAAAAUAAAAAAAGAUCAGUGUUUGAAAAGAAAAUUUUAUUUUUAUUUCUAGAACCAAAUUUAUUUAUUCAUUUUUUUUUCACUUUCUUUUCUCUUGGGUGCUUACAAAAUAGUUGCAUCCUCCGUUAGAGAAGAAUAAUGGGCAAAAAAUUAAUUUUGUUGUAAAAUAAGGACAAAUAUAAUGCAAAUCAAAGUAGUAGAGAUAAAAUAUAUCUUACUUUGAUAUAUAAUAUGGAAGAAAGAAUCAAAGAAGAUAAUUGAGAAAGUGAAAGAAAGAGAGAGAUAGAGAAUGAGAAGAAGAACUUUCUUCUUUUUCUCGAGUUGCUCUUACAUGGGGGGGGGGAUGGGGGGGGGGGGGGGUAAGAAGCCUUUUAUAGGCUUCAUAAUAUGAACUCCCAUUACUCAUCUUAAAGAUGAGUAAAUGGAGUUCAUAAUGACCAUCAAUGUGGUCAUUCAUUACUCUUCAUUUACAACACUCUCCCUUGGAUGACCACCAUAUUAAAAGAAUAUGCAUCAUUAAAACCUUGCUAGUAAAAGACCCUAUAGGAAAAACCUAGCGAAAGAAAAAGAGUACAAUAUUCUUUUCUUGGUAUAUUAGGACUACCUCGUUAAAAACCUUGCCAGUAAAACCAGUAAGACAAAACCUGGACGAAGGAAAAAAGAGUACAGUACACUAACACCCUUUUACAAGCAUACUCUCCCUCAUGUCGAUAUCCUUGAGUUGACGCAUUUCAAUCUUGUGUAUUAACUUCUUGAAUGUUGAGGUUGGCAAUGAUUUUGUAAAUAAAUCUGCUAGAUUAUCACUUGAGCGUAUUUGUUGCACAUCAAUUUCACCACUCUUCUGGAGUUCAUGUAUAUAAAAGAAUUUUGGUGAAAUGUGUUUAGUUCUAUCUCCUUUAAUAUAACCCCUUGUUAUUUGUGCAAUGCAUGCAACAUUAUUUUCAAAUAAUGUUGUCAGGUCACCUUUGAUAGAGGAGAGUCCACAUGAUUCCCAUUAUGCUGGAUCAUAGAUCUUAGCCAUAUACAUUCACGACUUGCUUCAUGAAUUGCCAGUAUUUCUGAAUGAUUUGAUGAUGUGGCUACCAUUGUUUGUUUGACAGAUCUCCAUGAAAUAGCAGUACCAUUGCAAUUAAACACAUACCCUGUUUGUGACCUGCCUUUAUGUGGAUCUGAAAGAUAUCCCGCAUCUGCAUAUCCAAGCAAUUGUUGCUUUGAUUCCCUUGAGUAAAAUAAACUCAUAUCAGUAGUUCCGCGAAGAUAACGCAAUAUAUGUUUGAUACCAUUCCAAUGUCUUCGAGUUGGAGCAGAACUGUAUCUUGCUAAUAAAUUGACAGAAAAAGCAAUGUCUAGACGUGUACAAUUGGCAAGAUAUAUAAGUGCACCAAUAGCACUAAGAUAUGGUACUUCAAGACCAAGUAACUCUUCAUCCUUUUCGCAAAGACGAAAUGGGUCCUUUUUCACAUCAAGUGAUCGAACAACCAUUGGAGAACUUAAAGGAUGCGCUUUAUCCAUAUAAAAAUGCUUCAAAACUUUCUUAAUGUGUGUUGAUUGAUGUACUAAAACUCCAUUUGGAAAAUACUCGAUCUGCAGGCCGAGACAAAAUUUUGUUUUUCCAAGAUCUUUCAUCUCAAAUUCCUUUUUCAAGUAAUUUGUUGUUCUUGUGAGCUCUUCAAGAGUUCCAACAAGAUUUAAGUCAUCAACAUACAAUGCAAUAAUUGCAAAUCUGGUUUCUGAUUUCUUAAUGAAGAUGCAUGGGCAUAUAGGGUUAUUCACAUAUCCUUCUUUUAGCAAGUAUUCGUUAAGGCGAUUGUACCACAUGUGUUGCAUCAGGCAAUUUAAAUCCUUCGAGGAUUUUCAUGUAUAUAUCAUUAUCCAUGGAUCCGUAUAAAUAUGUUGUAAUAACAUCCAUCAGACGCAUAUCCAGUCCUUCUAAGACUGCCAAACUAAUUAAGAAACGAAAUGUGAUUGCGUCCAUGACGGGAGAAUAUGUUUCCUCGUAGUCAAUACCAGGUCUCUGCGAGAAACCUUGUGCUACCAAUCGCGCUUUAUAUCUUAUGAUCUCAUUAUUCUCAUUGCGCUUUCGUACAAAUACUCAUUUGUACCCAACAGGCUUUACAUCUUCAGGUGUUUGGACUACAAGUCCAAAAACUUCUCGUUUUGUUAAUGAGUUUAAUUCUGCCUGUAUAGCUUCUUUCCAUUUUGGCCAAUCAUUUCUAUGUCGACAUUCUUCCACAUUUCGUGGUUCAGGAUUUUCAUUAUUUCUUAUGAUAUCAGAGGCCACUUGGAAAGCAAAAAUAUUGUUAAUAACAAUAUUAUUUCGAUCCCAUUUUUCUCCCAUUUGUACAUAACUUACUGAGAUCUCACAAUUUUUAGGUACCUGUGCCUCUUCAAGGGCUUCUUGUUCAAUAUGUGCCUCUUCAGGGGUUUUCUACAUUAUUUGUGCCUCUUCUAGGGCUAUAGAUUUAUCAAUUUUAAACUGAUCAAUCAUUUUGAUGGUCUCUUCUAGAGUGCCAAAUUUUUCUUGGGUUCUCCUCUUCCUGGGAGUUACAUCCUUUGAGCCGACAAGUCUACCACGCUUAAGACGUAUCUUAGAUUCAUUUGUUAAUUGUCUUACAGGGACAUCAAUCCGUGUUGGAGUAUUUGCAACCGGGAUAUGUGACUUUGUCACUUUCUUUGUAUCAAUGAAUGCAUCUGGUAAUUAAUUUGCAAGAUUUUGCAAAUGAAUGAUCCUUUGAACUUCUAAUUCACAUUGAUUUGUAUGAGGAUCAAUAUGGGUCAUAGUAGAUGUCUUUCAACUAAUUUCUCGUCGUUCUUCAGGAAUCGACUUUUCUCUCCCUAAUGAUGGGAAAACACUCUCAUUAAAUUGACAAUCCGCAAAGCGGGCUGUAAAAACAUCGCCUGUCAAAGGUUCAAGAUAUCUUAUGAUAGAUGGAGAAUCAAAACCUACAUAAACCCCAAGUCUUCGUUGGGGACCCAUUUUAGUGCGUUGUGUAGGUGCAAUUGGUACAUAUACUGCACAACCAAAGAUUCGUAAGUGAGAGAUAUUUGGUUGUUUUCCAAGCACAAGUUGUGAAUGGGAGUAUUCAUGGUAAGUUGUAGAUCGAAUACGGACUAAAGCUGCAGCAUGCAUAAUAGCAUGUCCCCAAGCGGAAGUAGGUAAUUUGGUUUUCAUUAGUAAUGGUCGAGCUAUUAAUUGGAGACGUUUGAUGAAGGAUUCUGCUAAACCAUUCUGGGUAUAAGUAUGAGCAACAGGAUGCUCAAUAUUUAUCCCUACUGACAUGCAAUAGUCAAUGAAUGUUUGAGAAGUAAAUUCGUCAGCAUUAUCAAGACGUAUUGUCUUAAUUGGAUAAUUUGGAAAUUGUGCUCGUAAUCUGAUUAUUUGUGCAAGGAGUCUAGCAAAGGCUACAUUACGUGUAGAAAGGAGACAAACAUGUGACCACUUAGUAGAAGCAUCUAUUAAGAUCAUAAACUAACGGAAUGGUCCACAUGGUAGAUGGAUAGGCCCACAUAUGUCCUCAUGUAUUCUUUCUAAAAAGAUUGGUGACUCAGAUAUGACUUUAGUAAAAGAUGGUUUGAUUAUCAAUUUACCUUGUGAGCAGGCAGCACAUGAGUAUUCAUUGGGCGAAAGAAUCUUCUGGUUCUUUAGUGGAUGCCCAUGUGAGUGUUCGAUUAUUCGACUCAUCAUUGAAGACCCUGGGUGACCUAGCCUGUCAUGCCAAAGGACAAAAACUUUUGGGUCGUUGAACGUCUGGUUCAUGACAACAUAUGAUUCAAUAGGCUUUAUAGUUGUAUGAUACAACCCAGAGGAGAAAGUCGGGAGUUUUUCCAUUAUAAGUUUCUCGCCAGAUAUAAUGGAAGUAAUGUAAAGAUAUUCUACAUUAUUUUCAUUCAUAGUUUCAAUAUGAUAUCCAUUUCUGCGGAUAUCUUUAAAACUGAGCAAAUUUCUUCUGGAUUUGCUAGAAUAUAACGCGUCAUUUAUAUGGAAUCUAGUUCCAUUUGGCAACGUUAUGUUUGCUCUUUCAGAGCCUUCAACUAAGUUUGUAGUACCAGAUAUGAUACUUACAUUAGCUUUUAUUAAUGUCAAUUUGAGGAAAUAUCUUUUAUCUCGAAGAAUUGUGUGCGUGGUCGCACAGUCUGUGAGACAUACAUCAUCCUCAUUCAUCUUGAGACCAAAUAACACAUGGAUUUCAGAUAUAACAAAAAAACAGGGCAUAAUGUAAAUAACAAAGUAAAUCAAAUGUAAAUAUAAGACAUAAUAAUAUAUUAUUUUAUAUAUAAAGUAACAUCAAUCAAUGUUAAUUUUUUCAUCAUUUAUCAAAUGGUCUGUUUUUUCAUUGGGACCUCCAAAGAAAUCAAUGUCAUAGUAGGUUAGGUCCAAUCCAUCACCAUCGGUAAAGUUCAUCUCUAUCUUUUUUCCUUUAUCUUUUAUUGAUGCUUGGUAAAGGUCGACCAAAUGUUUGGGCGUACGACAGGUACGCGACCAAUGCCAUUUCAUACCACAUCUAUAACAAUUAUUCUCAUGGUUCUUUGGAGGUUUAUUUUGUAAACUCUUCCCAUUUUCUUGUAUUGUCUCAGUAUUGUUCCACUUCUGGUGGUGCAAUGAGGCUUUCAUUUUCUGAGAAUUAUUACUAUAAGAACCAUGGUAUCGGGGAUUUCUUCCACGACCACGACCACGUCCUCAUCCUCGUCCACGUCCACGAGUUUGGGACGAUAUUGCAUUCACUUCAAGGAAUGGUUCAAAUCUAGUUGGACGAGACUGGUGAUUUAUUAUCAAAAGCUCAUUAUUUUGUUCAGCAACAAGAAGACAUGAUAUUAAUUCAGAAUAUUUUGUAAAUCUACGCUCUCGAUAUUGCUGCUGCAGGAGCAUAUUCGAGGCAUGAAACGUAGUAAAAGUUUUCUUUAACAUGUCUUCCUCUGUGAUUUUCUCUCCACACAGCUUUAAUUGAGAGCUGAUUUUGAAAAGUGCAGAGUUGUAUUCACUAAUAGUUUUAAAAUCUUGCAACCUUAGGUGCAUCCAAUCAUAUCGAGCUUUUGGGAGAAUCACAGUUUUCUGGUGGUCAUAUCUUUCCUUCAAAUUACUCCAUAGAGUAAAAGAGUCAUUUACCGUAAGAUACUCAUUUUUUAAACCUUCAUGGAGGUGAUGGCGAAGGAAAAUCAAUGCUUUUGCGUGAUCCUACAGAGAUGUUUGAUUUCCUUGUUUGAUCGUAACUCCAAAAUUCAUUGCAUCAAGAUGUAAUUCAGCAUCAAGGAUCCAAGAUAGAUAGUUCUUUCUCGAAAUGUCAAGUGCCACAAAUUCGAGUUUUGUGAUAUUCGACAUUGUCAAAUAACUUCAUAUAUAUGACAAAACAAUAUUAUUAAAAUCAAUUAUAAUAACUUGAUAGCAUUGGUAUAACUUUGAUUAUAAACAAAAUCAAAUAAUUUGUUUAUAACUUUUAACAAUAUGUAACAAAACAAAUCAACAAUAAUAUAAAUAUGUAAAAUUUUAUUCUAUAUAAAUAACUUCAAGUUUAAGAUACGAGAAUUACUUUCAGAGCAAUUCGUGCUGAUAACGUGUUGUAAAACAAGGACAAAUAUAAUGCAAAUCAAAGUAGUAGAGAUAAAAUAUAUCUUACUUUGAUAUAUGAUAUGGAAGAAGGAAUCAAAUAAGAGAAUUGAGAAAGUGAAAGAAAGAGAGAGAGAGAAUGAGAGGAAGAACUUUCUUCUUUUUCUCGGGAUGCUCUUACAUGGAGGGAUAAGAAGCCUUUUAUAGGUUUCAUAAUAUGAACUCCCAUUACUCAUCUUAAAGAUGAGUAAAUGGAGUUCAUACUGACCAUCAAUGUGGUCAUUCAUUACUCUUCAUUUACAACAAAUUUCCAUUUAUAAAAGUAAAAUUUGAAUUUUAUAUAAAAAGUUGUCCACGUGUAAUAAAAUUUAUCCUAUGGAUAUUAUCAUUUUGAAAUUAUAUUAUUUCUCAAGACCUUUCCAUUUUAAUCAAUUGAAAUUAUAGUACUGCUUGAUACCUUUCCCUUUUAAGAGGAAUUAUGUUAAUUGAAUUAAGUUUUCAAAAGUUACAAACUCAAUAAUUACGAUGCAACUUUGACAGAUUGGUUAGGUGAUGACUAACCCCAACCUAACUCAACCCAAAUUAAGAAAUAAUUAUUCAAACUCAAUCCAUAUUGAUCUUUAAGUUAAAGUACUCGACUAAAUCUCAAUUCAACCUCAUUUUUUUAAACUCGAGUUGAAUUCAAAUUGGUCGAGUUUAACUCGUAUUAAUUGGGUUAGACUCAGAUUGUUUAUAAUUAUCAAUUGUUGAUUUAAGCUUAAAUUUAAAAUUAUAGUUAGUAAGUACGGUUUUAAUUGGUUUAAAAAAAAAAAAUCAAAUUUGUAGCUGUCAGGAUUUUGUGACGUGCAUGCUCAUGUCGAUGAGAAUUGAAAACUAAUUUGGAAGAAAAUAUACUUUGUGAAUUUGGUUUUUAAAAAUAAAUUACUUCUGCUCCAAACUCAAGGUUUGGGCCUGUAACAAUCCAUUGGAUUGGGCUUGGGCAGAGGGAAGAGUGUAGACCAACCAAUUCGAUAUCUGGGCUUUUGUGUCUAAUUCAAUAAAUGGGACAGGUUAGAAAAAUUUAGGAGGUAUACAACAAUGGAUUCCCAAAUCAUCCGGAUAGAAAUAGACAACAGUCACAGCGACAUCACCCAAAGGACACACCCCCAACAAUUUCAGCCAUCCUCCCAUUGACACGUGGCUAAUUUCCAUCAUUCUUGGACCCGCCUUCCCGUGAAACGUCAUCCCUUACACUACAACCUCAUCCAACCUCCAAACUAGUUAACGGCCUCUAAUCAUCACAGCCAUCACAGCUUUGUAACGCUAUACAAUCUCACUCUCCUCUUCUGAUGAUAAUAUCUAGUGGCCCUGCCUGUCGUCCACGAACCACACUAUGGAGACUCCAAGCCCUAGAGAGAUGAACCGCAUAACACUUCUCUUUUUCUUUCUCAGUUUGGUCAUCACACUCUUCUCUGCAGCGGCGGACCAUGACGGCCCCACCACCAGCACCACCAGCAUCAUCUUCACAACGCUGGGGAGAUCCGACUAUGCCUUCGACGUUUUCAGCCUCCCGACUCUGGGGCCUUCUACUAUCGCCGACGAGCUUCGGAUUACCGAUGGUCAGUCCGUGAAUUUCAACGGUCAUUUCCCAUCUUCUCCAAUUAUUUCUCUUCUAGCCAAUCAAACCCUAGUUGAAAGCUCAAGCGUGAAACGCCCAGAUGAGUCUCUGCAAACCAUCUAUGUCACCGAGAGAAAUGGGUCGUCGAAUAUAUAUCUUGACAUAAUCUAUUAUGAUACUCCCACGAACUCUAGGAGAAGAUCUGCACUGGAGACCGCAGUUCGAGUUGAGGUUCCGCUAUUGGGUACUAACACUGAACAGAGCGACGGUCGAAUUUCGAUGAAAGACAGGCCUAGCUUAGUUGGUGAGGACUUGGUUUACGUAUCGACUCACGAGGACUCGGGUGUGCCCAGGAAAAGUUGGGCUGCUGUCUACUCGACUCAUCUUCCGACGGGGUCGACUAGGCGGUUGACACCGUAUGGGGUGGCUGAUUACAGCCCGGCUGUAUCGCCGUCGGGGGUAUGGACAGCGGUGGCUUCUUAUGGAGAGAGAGGCUGGGGUGGGGAAGUUGAAGAGCUCAGCACCGAUAUCUACGUUUUCAGGACUCGUGAUGGGUCUGAGAGGACGAAAGUUGUGGAACACGGUGGUUGGCCGUGUUGGGUCGAUGAUUCUACUCUGUUUUUCCACCGUAGAGGCAGCGAUGGCUGGUGGAGUAUCUACAGAGCGAUUCUUACUGAGUCAGUGGUUAUCGAGCGAGUCACUCCACCUGGUCUCCACGCUUUCACCCCAGCUACCUCGCCAGGCAACAAAAACUUCAUUGCCGUGGCGACGAGAAGGCUCAAUUCAGAUUAUCGCCACAUUGAGUUGUUUGACCUUCUCAGUAACGAGUUUAGGGAAUUAACUCGUCGGAUUUCUCCCCAAACUCACCACUUUAAUCCGUUCAUCUCGCCCGAUUCUACUCGAAUUGGUUACCACAGAUGCAGAGGCGACAGUAACGGAGGGAAAAGCCCUCACCUGCUGCUCGAAAACCUCAAAAGCCCAUUACCUGAAAUCUCUCUGUUUAGAUUUGACGGUUCGUUCCCUUCGUUUUCACCGGGCGGCGACCGGAUCGCUUACGUCGAAUUCCCGGGGGUUUACGUGGUGAACCGGGACGGUUCUGGCCGGCGGGAGGUGUUCUCCGGAAUCGCCUUCUCCACCGCUUGGGACCAUAAACGGAAAGGGGUUGUAUACACUAGUGCAGGUCCCACAUUCGCUACAGAAAGCACAAAAGUGGAUAUAGUGUCUAUCAACGUUGAUGACGUUGACCAGCCUAGCUACAAAAAGUUGACCACCGGCGGUGAGAAUAACGCAUUUCCCUCGCCAUCACCGGACGGGAAAUGGAUCGCGUUCCGGUCAGGCCGGUCUGGCUAUAAGAAUCUGUACAUAAUGGAUGCUGUGGAUGGAGAGAGAGGUGGGAUCCAUCGGUUAACAGAGGGCCCAUGGACGGACACAAUGUGUAAUUGGUCACCGGACGGUGACUGGAUUGUCUUUGCAUCCGACCGGGAGAACCCGGGUGGUGGUGGGUUUGAACUGUACGUGAUUCACCCUAACGGGACCGGCCUCAGGAAGGUGGUUCAUAGCGGUUCAGCUGGGAGGACUAACCACCCAUGGUUCAGCCCUGACGGGAAGAGCAUUGUUUUCACUUCAGACUAUGCCGCAGUAUCAGCUGAGCCCAUCUCCAACGCACAUCACUACCAGCCUUAUGGCGAUAUCUUUGUGGUGAAUUUGGAUGGCUCAGGGCUUCAUCGAUUGACACAUAAUUCAUACGAGGAUGGGACUCCCGCCUGGGCUCCCAAGGUCAUUAGGCCGGUUGAUGUGAAGUUGCAGGUGGACGGGCCACACUGCUCCUUUGAAGAUUGUCACUGGCUCAGCAACACUCCGAAUCAUGGUGUUGAGGCUGCACCCUGGGUCUUGGCCAAGCCUCAGUGUGGUCUACGGGCCUAGAUUGCUUAAUGCUCAAGCAGCUAUAAUAUUGUAUUACUCGGCUUUUGCUAGCGUAUGAACCUCUCUGUAGAUUGCUUAAUGCUUAAUGCUCAAGCAGCUAUAAUAUUGCUAGUGUAUAAACCUCUGUAAGUAUUAUAUGACUCUUUCAGAAGUUGGUGCUAUUAACUUGAUGUUAUAUAUAAAUCCAGUUGUGCAAUUAGUCCAUUUGAAUGAAUGACUUUCCCAUUUGUGAAGAUUGGAGUUUGAAAUUAAAGGGAACAAGGAGAUGAAUGACAUAAAAGAUAAAUCUGUACAGAAGUUGGACAUUGAAAUGAGCUACAAAAGCUAAAUAAGAAAACUCAAUUGUACAAGAUUAUGAUCUAGGGGAGGACACCACCCUAACGUCGGAGUCAAAAUUCCAAAAACAGGUGUUGUUAUCAGAAAGGGGAUUACAGCAGUUGGAACUAGAACAAGCAGCCUACACCAUACACACAGAAGCUAAUCCAACAGAACAUUGGAAAAAUUACGCCAUAGUGCUUAGUUGCUUAGGUUGUGGAAAAGCUCUGAAGGUAUGGAAGGAGGGCAGUACUUCUUCGCCACAAAUUUGUACUGGUGUGCACAAAAGAAGCAUGUCAGUUUUAGGACAUUUGAAUUAUCAACCAAUCUACAGCAAACAGAUUCUAAAAAAAACAGGGCAUGUGAAGAACUCGAAAUCAGUCUGGAAACUGGAACAGAAAUUUUGCUCACCUUGUGCUGACUGUAUUUCUCCCUGAUUGCAGGUAAACUAGAAUUGUGGUUGUUACAGCAUAGGCGAUGAAGAGCCUUAACACAAUCACACAAAUCAGAGGGCUGGUAGAGUGUGUAGUGCCUCAAGGUAGAAUUCUGGACCAAAAUCAAUACCAGAUUGAAAUUAGGAGGUUUCAGAAGAGAAAGCUACAACAUAACUCGGUAGUCCAUAAGGCAUUUGAACAAGCAAAAUCUGCCUAACAUUUCAUCAAACCCUUACCCAAGGUCUCUUUGAAGGGAGAAGAAUAUAGUUGGCCAAGAAAAUUGCUGAAGCCGCUAUAAGUGAUGGAGCAUAACAGAGCAUACUGUACUCCAGAAGGGAUAGCUCGGCUAUAUAGUUCGCCAAGCACUCGAGCUGCAACGAUGGAACCUAUGGAAAGAACAGAUGAAGUCAUCAAACCAUCACAGAGAACCAUAGCUUUUCAGUGGGUUAACAAAUUCCUAGCACAAAAAAGCAUCAUCGGUCCCAUUACACCAAGAGGAAUGUUGGGCUUGAUAAAGAACAAAAUGACUAAUGGAAGUUAUUCUUAUGACAAGAUAUUAAGGAAUUAUACUAGCUGUUAUUUGCUUUUGUUUGUGAUUCUUAAGAUUGUGGACUGUGCUCCAGUGAUUGGAAAAUAACAUGAUUUGAAGUUGUGCAUGUAAUGAAGAAAGAUAUAAAUCUGAAUUACUAGAUGUUACAGUCCAAGACAGAUACCUCGUUCAUUCCUUGAGCAGCUCGAACAAAUCGCCUAUUGUUUUGUCAACGAAGCACAAAUCAACACUUAAAUCAGCAUAUGUGAGAUAACCAUUGUAUUUUUGACAUCAAUAGGGAUAGACAACCUGAAUAUUACCUCAAAAAACAUUUAGCUGUUGGAGCUGUCAUUUCAAAUUUUAAGUAAUUUAGGACAGAAGAUUCCAUUUGCAAAACCUGCAAGAGUCUAAGUUGCUCAGUUUUAUUGUCAAGGAAGAGAUUAAAAAAACAACUAGGAAACUGUUUCAUGUUUUUGCAAAUUGCAAGUAAAGAAGAUCAACUACAAUUCAAAUGAACAUUUAAAUGAAUCUACUAUUUACACAAAGAGGAGAACCCAAACCUCCUCCUUGAAAUAGGUGUUAUCAGUUAUGUAACAGAAUUCUUCCACCUGGGGUGCACAAAUCUCUUCAUACUUGCUGCCAAUUUUAUCAUGUUUCUUGUUAACAUCCAUAUUAUUUCCUUAAAACAGAAGGGAGAUUGAAAGCAAGAGGGAACAAAUACAGGAAAAAAGAGAGGUAGCAUCUUACGCAGCAAUCAUCAUGCAUGCAACACCAAGCAAUUGUAGCUGUUGCCUGUUCAUCACAUUCCCAGAAAGAUACCGAUCUAUGAAGUUCACUGUCAAGUAUAAUGUAUCAGGCACAAGCCUGUACUCUUCAGCAACCUGCAGUUGCAUUAGAAUUUAUUACACCUCUAGAAAGACUACAAUGAAACAUCUUGGUAAUCAAUGUAAAUCCCCAUUGUACAAUAUUAGAAUUGAUCGAAAUAUAAGAUGGAUACCAUAUAAUUACUUAAAUAUAAUCUACCUCCACAAGCCAAUCAAUGAGAAUUGACCUCAUGCUUGCAUUAACGUCUUUCUGAAUUCUCUCCAUGAAGUCUGUGGAAGGCCUCUUCCUUGCCUAGAAAACCCCAGGAAAUGAACAAAUUACAUGAAGAAAAGGCAAAACAAUAAUAAAAAUCAAGACCUAAAAUCAUAUCUUAUCAUGUGAAUAUGUAGCAUUCUAAAAAAUUUUGGACCAUACAAUAAGUAACUCCAUAAGAGGCUUCAUGAAAGAAAGCAAUUUCAGGGAAAAUUCAUGCAAAUCUAAAUGAAUGGAGGGGUUCUACAGAUUACCCUGAACAAAUGUAUUUUUUGAAUGGACUGAACUGACCAAGUUAAGACAGACAGGAAAAUACAUGUCUUAAAGGUAUCAUCCCCAUCAAAACACACAAUGAUCUUUAUAGAAUACAUCUUGUUUCCAGGAACUUCAACAAGAAAGAGCAUUUAUUUAAUAAGAUCAAGUCAGAAACGUAUAGAUUAUCAAUGGAAAAGAUGUUAAACCUCAGAUGCACGCAGGUGCUUGUAGAUGUCACAAGCCAUGGUUGCGCAGAACUGUGGAUCCCCGAAAUUGUCAUCGAUAUCAGCAAUUUUACCAUUUGUUUCUGUCUCCACAUGUAUAUCUUCACUGCAAAUAUUUCCUGUGAACAAAACAAUGGAGACCCAGUGAGAAAAUCUUCACAUUGAACACAAAAGAAACAACAUAAAUGGACAAGGCAAAAAUGCAACCUUCUGCUUCCACAUGCUCUGAAAUGUAGAGCUUGCUACAUGUCUUCCUCUCAAUAGAAUUAACCGCUAAAUCAUCAACGUCCAUAUAUUCAACUUCUGGGCUCUUGAAAGAAUCACAAGUAGACAUCGUCUCAUCCAUGGAAGCUGAAAUACCAUCGGAUCGAUUCGGUGAAACAUCCAAGCUGCAAGGAUCUGGAAGGGCGGUAACAGUAGAGGCAGUUCCAUCACUUUUGGGAAGAGAUGUGUCCUUACAGGGAAUAACUGCAGUUGGUUUCACAUUCAAGGAAGCAGAUGAUGUAUUUCCAGUGAUGCCUACACUUCGGGAAAUUUUAGAAGAUCCCCUCUUUGCUUUAGAAAUUUUUUCCGCACAUGGUACCUUCAAGAAGACAAAACCCUAGUUAGUCAUUUCACCCCACAUGGUAUUAAACAAAUAUUAGAUUGUGGAUUUGGUAUAGCUAGAGACAAAUAUUAAAAGGUGGAUUUGGGUUUGAAAUUUGAGCCACCCUAUGAAAUGAUAGCGGAGAGGACUGACUUUCACCUGAGAUUUAAAUUCAAACCUUAAAUCCAGAGAUAAUAAUUGACUGAUUUCUUGUCUAAACUAUUUUUUUCUAUAACGACAAUUCUCUCAGGGUGCGAUUUUGUUUCCCAAAUAAAAAGCGGCAUUUGAUCAAAUAGAUUGAAAAUUUGGAAGAAUUGGAAAUAACACAAAAAUUUGAAUGCUUAUAAUGCAUUGUUCUGGUCUCGAAAAAUAAAACGAUCAGGACGAUCCAUAAGAAAAAACCUUCAACCAGGGAAAAAGAAAAGAACGAGAAAAAGUCACAGAAAAAUACAAAAUAACAAAAAAAAAAAAAAACUUAAUUUUUCAUAGUGCCAUAAACAAGAUGAUACCCGAACAUUCACUAAUUCUUGUGUGGCAUCUCAGAAACCAGAGAAUACCAAGAAAAAGAAAACAUCAAAUCAAGCUAUAAUGAUCCUUUUUUUUGGUUUGUGAAUCUUUCCUGUGAAACAAAAAAAACAAAACCAAUAACAGUUUUCCCUUUCUUUCCCACGGUUUUCUUAGCAACCAAACAAAUCCCAACAAUCAAUCACAUCAAGAAUGAAAACCCACCAUAGUCCCGACCGCAGCCGAGCUUUUUAACCCACUCAGAGAAGCAUUCUUUUGGUUGGUAAUGUUACUGAGAGGCGGCCGCUUCUUGGCCAAAUGCGACGGCACCGUCGUAACCUUACCAUGAUUAUCCGACGACGACCGCUUCAUCAAGGACGACGACGACGACGACGAAGAAACUGAGGAACGGCGAUUCUGGGUCGACAUAGCUGAAGAGCCCCUCUCUCUAUCUGGUUCAAAAUGAACAAAGCAAACCAGAUAAAGGAGAAAAAGAAGGGGAUUCAAAUCUUUGAAUCUUUUGAAGCAACUAGGGUUUAAGUCAUGAAUUUUUGAAAAUGUUUUUCAAGAUUCUUACAGGGAUGAUAGUAAAGAAGGGGAAAGGAUUUAGAGAGAGACGGUGCUGCGUGUGAUUUAACGUACUACUUUAAUGGUACUUUGAGGCGGGGAAAAGCGGUGUUUGAAUUGAAAGACAUCCUGACCGUCCGAUCUGCUCGAUAAUCGUUAGGAGCGUCGCAGAGUGGGGCCCACAGAUCUGUCCCCUUCUAUUUUCUUUUAACUGUAUUCAUCUUUGUGUAAGAAGGGCCAAUAGAACUGCGGAGAGUGAUGGAGCCUGUGGUCAAGGCUGAGGUGGAUUUUCGUUUUCAUCGGUUUGAGGGAGUUUUAGUUGUCGGUUAGAUUUGUGAAGGUGACGGGCUGUGAGGUUAGGGAGGUUGGGGUUUGAAUUUGAAUUUGAAUUUAAACAACCUAACGGUCAGUCGAUGUGGCUUUAGGGAGCAGAAACUGAGCUAGGAGUGAGACCCACAUGAUCCAGUUUCAGAGCUUUUAAGCCACAUAGUCAAAUUUUUUUUUUGGCUUGUUCGAAAUUUAGGGAUUGAAAAUUACAUCAUUUUCUGUAAUGAUUUAAAAUUUCUAUCCCAAUAAGAAAAAACCAGGAGGAAAAGCAAAUAAGAAAUGAAAAAGGAAGAAAAAUAAAUAAUCAAAUUUAAUUUUAGAAAAUUCGUAUCCAUAUUUUAUUAAUGACAAAUUCAAAAUGGUAUAAAAUUUUAAAUUUAUAUCUUUCCCCAGAAGCUUAUUAAUUUUUCUUAAUUCAAUGAACACCCGGCCCAAUAAAUGACAAAAGAGGGAAAAAGGGAACAUGACCCCUUUCCUACGGGUUAGAACAGGGCAAGAAGGAUCACAAGGUUUUUACAAAUAAUUUAAUACAUCUUCCCAUAAGCCAAGAUUACCUGGAAGGAAAGAAUGCUAUCUGACCUUUUUUUUUUUUUUUUGGUAAGUUAUAAAAUUGAUUGAGUGUGUUUUAACAAAAUAUAUUUUUAUUUUCAACGUGAUUCCAAAUUUGAAAAUUUCUUAUUUGAGAAUUAGAUCUCUCUCUUCCUAUUUGUAAUUCAAAUGAAUUAAUUCAACUAUUUAAAGUGCGUAUGGGAGUGAUUCUAAAAAAAUUAAGUGUUAAAAAAAUUAAAAGUGUUUUGUAGAAUUAUCUAAUAGGUUUUUAGUCAUCCUUGAUUCAUUGAAAUUAAAAAUAAAUAAAUAAAUAAAAUUUAAUUAAAAAAUGCAUCAUUGCCAAAUUUACAUAUUACAGGACAGAUAACUCAAUUUAUUUUCCCCAUUUGUUUUCCAUGAAAGAGAAGGGAUCAUUGAAAGGAAUGUUUAUGUACAGUUGAAUAUCAAGAUGCAUUAAAAGAAAUGGUCAUGUACAAGGUUGAAAAUUGGGGUAAACUAAAGAAAUUUAAACAAGAACACAUUACGUACGAUAUGAACCUGGUGGGUUUAUCUUCAACAGAGAAGAGUGAAAUGAAACAGUAGAAGAAGACUAUGCUACUUGAAACUCCAAAAGUAUACACAAAACUAUGGAGUUUAAAAAUUUCAUGUGGGAUGUUGGUUAAAAAAGUAAACACAUCACCAGGAAAGACCACACAGCUGACAGCAGAAACAUCCAAGUCUAUUCAGCCAAGCAUUGCCAUACUUAUCUGACAUCUAGUCGCUUGGGUCUUCAAAAAACUCUGGAGGCACACAAGGGGGGCAAUACUUCUUUGCCACAAAUUUAUACUGGUUCAUAAAAGAAGACCCAAGUUUAGUUCAGGACAUUUGGAUAUCAACAAAAGUUUGCGUUUGUAUCAGUAAAGAGUUCGUGUGCAGUUUCUGAUAUUACUUCUCUAAUGUCGACAGUCAUAAGUUUUUUCAGUUGAAGGUGAGGCAAUAUAAACCUAGAGAAAGUAUGAAACACACACAGAGGGAAAUUUGGCUUACCUUGUGCUGACUGUAUUUCUCCUUAAUUGCGGGUAAACCAGAACCAUGGUUGUUACAGCAAAGAUGAUGUAAUGCCUUAACACAAUCAUGCAAAUGAGAGGGCAGGUAAUGUGUAUAAUGCCCCAACAUAGAAUUCUGUACCAAAACAAAUAGAGGGAUGAGUUAUAAUCCUAUGUCAAGGGAGAUGGUAAACCAAAGCGUCUAAGAAAUUACAAGAUCAGUCUGAUACGAUGUCUGACUUACCCAAGGCUUCUCUGCUGAGAAAAGUAUAAAUCUAGCCAAGAAAGUCGCAGAAGCAGCUAUUAGCGAUGGUGCAUAACAAAGCAUGUUGUACUCUAGGAGUGAUAACUCUGUAAGGUAGCUUGCCAAGCAUUCCAGUUGCAAUGAUGGAUCCUACAAAGCAACAAAUAUGAUCACCAAAAAGUAUCAAGUAUUCAAGAAUCACCAGGCAAAGGACUAAAUAUGGAUAUCCAAGCGCUUCCAUAUUUAAAGACUACAAUAUCAAGUGGAAGUGAGUACUACAAUGGUCAUUAUUCAAGGUUUUAUUUAUACUAACAUAGUGUCAGUUUGAAUUGCAUCCCACUCCCUCUUUCAACUCAAAUAUUAAUCAAGAGCAACAUUUGUUGCUAUUGUUACAUCAUUUACCAGCCAAAUGCUCCAUCAUAAUGAUCAAAAAGCAAAGUUCAUAAAACCUAGUAACCAAUAGAGAAUGACAUAAAACAAAGUACCAUGAUUAAACCAGUUCAAGACAGGUACCUUAUUGUUCCCUUGAGCAGCAUGAAUAAAUUGCCUUAACAUUGUGAAUCAAUCAGAUGUCAAUAACUACACAAACAAACAGCAAUGGAACUCAGAAUAUUCAAUAAGAACCAGAAAGAUAGGCCUUACCUCAAAAAACAUUUAGUUGUUGGGACUGUCAUUUCAAACUUCAAAUAAUUCAAGACUGCAGAUUCCAUUUGCAAAACCUGGAAAAUUAAAUUGCUGAAUGACAACUCAAAUGAGAGCACAAAGGAACAAUUCGAAGAAGCAUCUAGGCAAGCACAAUUCAGCUAAAAGAGAAUAGAUUCAAAACCUCCUCCUUGGAGUACGUGUUAUCAGUUAUGUAACAGAACUCUGCCACCUGGAGCGCACAAAUCUCCUCAUAUUUACUGGCAAUGUUUUCAUUUUCAUGGUCAUUAUCCAUACCCAAUUUCAACGGAUUUGGCAAGAAGAAAACAAAAGGAAAUAAUAAAAUCUUACGCUGCAAUCAUCAUGCAGGCAAUGCCAAGCAAUUGUAACUGCUUCCUAUUCAUAACAUUGCCAGAAAGAUAACGAUCUAUGUAGUUAACAGUCAAAAAUAGUGUAUCUGGUGCAAGCCUGUACUCUUCAGCUACCUGAAGUUGGAAUUAGAAUUAAGACCACUGGUUUCAAGAUAGUAAUAACCACAACUUUACACACAAGAGCAGCUGAUGACAUCGACAAUAAGGAUUUUUAUUAUCCGAGGAAAAGCCCCAGCUAUCAACAUAUGAAGUUGUUGCUAUAAAACAAAACCCGUCCCUGAUGUGAGGAGGGGGGAGAUUCCUUAGAAUAUACCAAUCCACAAAGGAAAUGUGAAAGAAAACUAUUAUAGUUUACCUCCACAAGCCAAUCAAUGAGUAUUGCACGCAUGCUGGGAUUAAUGUCUUUCUGAACCCUUUCCAUGAAGUCAAUGGAAGGCCGUUUCUUUGCCUAAAAUGACCUCAGCAAUGGGAUAGAGAAUGAAGAAAAGUAGGAAAGUCAAAUGAGAUUCCAGACUAGGAAUUCUAGAUAAAAAGAAUAUAACUAUGUAAAACAUAAUUUAGCUAACCGUAUGACAUGCUCAAACAAGUCUGUCUAUACAAAAGAAAAUUAUGAAACUAAAAUUUCCUCAACGCAGUCCUCAUCAGAGAUGGAAAUUGAGUUUAUCUGUGCAGAACUAACAAAGAAUCUGCAACAACUAAUGCCAAAAUUGAUCUGAUGAACUACCAAAGAACCAGCACCCACUAAUGCCAAAAGUCAGCUAAUACUCCUACAAACCAACCAACACACUUAUGAGAGGAUGAUUCCCAUGCAAAGGUUGGUCAUUCAUGUUUGGCUCUAGACUUCUUACAAAAUUUGUAUCUGCCAUUAACAAACCAUCCUGGUCUGUCUAUAUGAUUUUUAUCCACAUUCCAUGUCAAAUUAUUAAUUUACUAUAAAAUUCCAAAGACUUAAAAAAUCCCACAGAAUUUGUCAAUGGAUUAAAAGUGAAAAGUGAAAAUAUCUGUUUUAGUUGAGAAAAAAAUAUCAAUAUCUAUGAUGUUACACAAAAUUAGUAUCCUGCUAAAAAAAUUUAUUAAGAAAUCAUAUUGACACAUCGGAGACAAACUGAUUCAUUAGAGAUACCUAAAGACGUCCAUUGAAUGAUUAGAAUAAAUCAAUGUCCAAGAAAGAAAGCCCAUUUCAAAUGUUCAUUCACUUAAUAAUUUCACCUUAAGAGUGAAUCUUCAACUCCAAGAAAAUGAAAGUGGGAGUCAAAAAUAAAAAAAUUCAUACUUAGAAUUCUUAAAAAUCAGUGUGCUUUUAUUAGAAUAUAAAAUAAUAAUUGUUUAAUAUCUUAUAAAAAUAUUUUAAUGCACGCCAACAUGAUUCAUUAUGACCAGUCGCAAAAGGAGUCAUUCAAUGUAUUUCUUUAUGUUUCUAGUUACUUGUAAAAGUAAAAAUGAUAACAAUUACUAAAGGUGACAAUUAACAUUGUUAACCUUGUAGAGUAAAAGAUUAGAUGAUAGCAAACUUCAUAGCCUUGCAACACUAGUAAUCAAUUUUUGCAAAACACAUAUGAGGUUGUUGUCCUACUUGAACAUACAAAAGCAAGAAGGCUUUUUUGAAAUUUUGAAUGCUGAUUUUAUAGUUAACGGCAAGUCCAUGAGAAAUGAAUAAGUUUGGACAUGUGUUUACUUUAGAGAUACUGAUGUACUGAACAAAUAAUAAGUUUGGAUAUGUGUUUACUUGGCAAUACCAAUGUAAUGAACAAUAUAUGGGAAUAAAUAGCACAUAUAUUUAAAAUGCAAAAGAAACCUCAGAUGCACGCAAGUUACUGUAGAUAUCACAAUCGAUGGCUGCAUAAAACCGUGGAUCCAGGAAAUUUUUAUCAACAUUAACAAUUUUGUCAAUUGUUUCCACCUCCACAUCUCCCUUGCAGAUAUUUCCUGAGAUCAAAAUUACAGAACUAAAUUAACAAGGCCAGGAGAAUAUAUAACUAUAAUUUGCAAUUGCAGUCACAGAAAGCUAAGCAAGAUGUCAUGGACAACAUUUUAAUUACCAAAAUUUUACAAAAAGAAAUAAAAUCUAAAUAAUAAAGCUGCCAAUUAUCAAACAAAACAACCAAGGGAAAAGCCCAUCCAGAGUAGCUAAAUGAAGUGGACAAGAAAAGUUAUAAAUUUAUUAGAAGAAGAAACCUGUUAUUUCCACAUGCUUCGAAAGAUGGAGACAGGUACCUGUCUUUGUCUCAACAAAACUAACUGGAGAAGCAUCAUGGUUAUUGAUAUAUUCAAAUUCUGGACUCUUCAAAGAAUCACAAGUAGACAUGGUCUCAUCUAAAGAAACUGAACCAUCUGAUUGACUUGGGGAAACACCCAUAGUUCUAGGGGCAGAAAGGACACUAACCAUGCUGCUGGAAGCAGAAAGACUACCAACAGGUUGAUCACUCUUGGGGAAGCAUGUAUCCUCACAAGAAACAGCAGGACUUGAUUUUACAUUCAAGGAUGCAGGGAAAGUAUUUUGAGAGAGGGUUGUACCACGAAUGCAGGUCAAAGAUCUCUUCUUUAUCUUGAAAGUUUUUGCUGUGCAUGGUGCCUUCAAAUAUGAACCUUGGUUAACCUUUUUUCCCCAAAAAUUAGAACAAGGAUACUGUUAAACAGGAAGCAAGCUACUAACUUAUGUCCCAUUUCAAUAUGAAUGUAAAGGAUAAAAGAGCAAAAUAAAGUUAUGAGGCAUCAGGGAACAAAAUGACAAGAAACAUUUCCAAUUAGAUUUUCAUAUUAUUUUCAAAGCACACAUAAAACCCAUAAAAUGGUAUCAUUCUUUUUUUUUUUUGGUGAAACAAUUGCCCAAACCUACCUAUAAUUCUAAAUUUGUUGAAAGUUGUUGGAAAAAUCAUAACACGGUAAAAAAAAAAGUAAAAUAAAGAAAACAAAAGAUUUAUGUGGUUCAACAUAAUUGCCUACUUCCACGGGAAAGAGAGAUUAAAUUCAUUACUAAACUUCAAAAAUUCAUACUAAAACUCUCUACCCAAAACUCAAUAUAUCAUUUGCCUAUUUGUUUUCACUCUCCUUACAACUUUGAUGGCCUACUUUUUUUUUCAACCUCUCUACAAAUCCUAUGUAAAACCACAUAUUUAUAGUCUUCUUGGUCAACCCUAAAGAGUGAGCUUCCCGAUCUUAGUCAAACUCAAAAACAGUAAUUUACCCAAACCUAAACUAAGAAGGAUGAAUAUCUGAGAUCUACUUAAAAAAAGGAAGGAAAGAAAGAAAUAAACUUUAAAAUGAUAGUCUUAGUUGGAAUUAAAUUAAGAUUAGCAUCUGUUGAAGUUAAAUUAGGAGAAUUCGAGUCAUAAUAGAUCAAUAGAAUCCUAACAAAAUUUGAAUUUCUUUGAGAAGCUUGUAAAUAAGGAUAAUUGAUGUAAACCAAAAUAAAAUGAUUAAAUAAUAUUAGUUUUUUCUCAAGCAUUGCAAUUCUCACCGAUGAGAUUUCAUUAUUUUUCCUCUAAAUGAAAUCCCUAGAAGGCCUUAAUGAGAUUAUAAAGUUUCUAUCCCUUCUUCUUCUCAUAUUCUUUCUUUAUAUUUUUAUUUUGUUUUUUUCCUGUUGUCAUAAAUUCUAUUCCUUGUCCAUCUCCUUAAACCUUAAAAAAUAAAACCUCUAACCUACCAACUUGAUUGUAAACAUUCAAUCAAAGGUUUGUCCUAUAUUAUAAACUCUAUAAAUAUCAACUUUUUCAAAACUAAAGAUCCAUAAUUUGAGUCGAAAUCACCAACAAUCUCCACCUUGACUCAAAUUCUCUCAAUUCACAUGUGGAGGUAUCUCUUCUUGAUACCCACCUUUGCACCCCUUAUGGGUAAGAUGUCACCACUACACAAUCACUAAAAGUAAACAUGUGUCAAGUUCAAACUCUCAUCAAACUUGAUUCGAGAAACUGUCUUUGUCUUCUUCAUAACUUCAUUCUUUUUACAAUUGGUCUAGUAAUAGCCCAAAAGAUCUAAAGCCCCUAAAAGAAUUAAAAUUUUCCUUAAUUUAGGAACAUGCUUAACAUUAUCAAUAUCCUCACAACACUAUCAAACAUCUUCACUUUAACACAAUCAAUCCCACUAACUUUAUAGCUAGAAUUAUUAUCAAUUAAAAUAGUACUAGCAUUACAUUCUUUGUAGGUGUCAAUACACUUCUUAUAUGGGCACAUACAAAAAUAACACCCAAAAUCCAAGAAGAAAAAAUGUCUUCAUCAAGUAAAAUAGAAAUAUCAUUAUCAUUAUUAAACUUUUCAUUAACAACAAUAGCAAAAUUUGAAGUCUCUUAGGAUUUAAGUUUUCUCCUUACUUCUAAGUGCUUUGUCAAUUCUUCACAAUACCUCUAAACAUGUCAUUUUUUUUCUAAUAAUAGUAACACUCCACAUCCCUCCAGAAUGUGAUUAGAAACAAUCACCUAUCCUAUUAUAAUAUCUCCCUUUCAAUUUACUCCUACCAUAAUAUGAUUCAAAGUUCACCAUAAAAGCUUGUUUGGUGUGAGAAAAAAUGCUUAAUAUUUUUUUGUCUCUAAAAGUGCAAUUGACACCUCAUCCACUUUUAACAUCGCUUUUCCAAACAAUAAGUGUUGUCACCCAUGUCUCAUAUGGUUUCAGUAAGGACGCAAAUAAAAUAAAAACUCGAUCUUACUCAUUAAUCUUGAUCUCCACCCUUAAUAGUUGAGUUAUGUACUUAUUAAAUUUAUUUAUAGGAUCUCUAACAUUGGUUUCUUUAUCUACUUUCAACUCGUAUAACUGUUUUUCAAAUGUAAUCUAUUUAUUAGGGAUUUCGACAUAUAAGUUUUCUUUAACUUUUCCCAUGAAUGAAAAGAAGAUUCCUUAGUCAAAAUACUAUCUAAUUCAAAACACUUAGAUAGUGUUUUGAAUAAGAAAUCUCCUUUUGAUUUAUGAAAAUAAAUAAAUAAAUUUGAGAAAAUUAAUAUGUCAAAAUCCCUAACAAAUAAAUUAUAUUUGAAAAUAGUAGUUAUAUGACUUAAAGAUGGAUGAAGGAAUUGACGUUAAGGAUCAUAAAAAUAAAUUUAAUAAGUGCAUAACGUGGUUAUUAAGUGUAGAGGUCAAACUUAAUAAGGAAAAUUGAGUUGCUAUUUUAAUGGCAUUUCUAUCAAAAUAUAUGAGACAUUGGUGAUUACACUUUUAGUUGGAAAUAUGAUGUUAACUAUUGAUGAGGUGUCAAUUGCUCUCUUAGAGACAAAAAAUAUUAAGCAACCAAGUAGUUCAUCUCAUACUAAAUACGCUCUUGUGGUGAAGUCUAAAUCGUAUUGUGAUAUGAGUAAAUAGAGAAGAUGAUUGUUUCUGAUCACACUCUUAAAGGGAUAUUAUAUAUAUAUAUAUAUAAAAGAUAUAUUAUGAGGUAUUGUGAAGAAUUGAUAAAACACCUACAAGCAAGGAGAAAACUUAAAUCCCAAGAGACUUCAAAUUUUGAUAAUGUUGAUGAAAAGUCUAAUAAUAAUGAAGAUGUGUUUUGUAUUAUAGUUAAUGAAAAAAUUUCUAACUCUUAGAUUUUGGAUUCUAAAUAUUCUUUUCAUAUGUGCCCCUAUAAAGAAUGUUUUGACACCAAUAAGGAAUGUAAUGUUAAACCUAUUCCAAUGGACAAUGAUUUUAACUUUAAAGCAAUUGGGAUUGGUACCGUGAAGGGGAGUAUGUUUGAUAGUUUAUGAGGAUAUUAUUAAUGUUAAAAAUGUUCCUAAAUUGAUGAGGAGUUUGAUUUCUUUGGGGGUUCUAGACACUCUAGGCUAUGAUUUUUUCUUAUACAGGAUGGAAUUAUGAAUAUUAAUAAAAGUGUCUCAAAAUUUACAAAACUUGCCAGUAGAGUCACACCUUGAAAAGUCUUAUGUUAAUGCUAAAGAAGUUGUCACAAUAGAAAAGCAUGGUAAGAUGUUGGCAUCAGAUGAAAAGUAUAAGGAGAAGAUGAUUAAGACUUCAUUUUCAACUAAGGAUACUUGUUGACACAAGGAUGAGACUAAUUGCAAAAAUAAUGAAGUUAUAAAGAAGACAAAGACUCGAUGAGAGUUUGAAUUUGACACAUGUUUACUCUUAUUGAUUGCACAACAAUGACACCCUACCCAUAAGGGGUAAGCGUCAAGAAGGGAUACCCCACCCUGGUAUUGAGAGAAUUUGAGUCAACAUGAAAAUUGUUGGUCAUUUUGACUUGGAUUAUUUAUUUUUAUUUUUGAGAAAGUCAAUAUUUGUAAAGUUUAGAUUUGGGUAAAUUACUCUUUUUAGCUUGACUAGGACUGGAAACUUUCUAUUCAGUGUAAGUUCAUAGGACUCGUUUGUAUCCCACAAAAAAAAAAAAAAAAAAAAUGUUAGCCGUCAAAAGCGUCCAAGUUGUAAAAACAGUGAAGAGAUCAAACUCCCGUGGACAUAGGCAAUUCACAUCAAUCUUUCUUUUUCUUUUCUUUUUUUCUAUUUUCCUUUAUCCUCCUACCGGGUUUGGGUGUUGCGAUUUUCCCAAAAGAAUUCCCUUUUCCUGAUUCACUAAUCUGGUACCUUCAAACAUGGUUGUAACCUUUUUUCAGUAUGGUCACUGUCCUUGAUCAUCAUCCAAUUGAAAUAGCCCAAAACAUGUAUUUAGGGAUCUCAAUACCCAAAAGGAAAAAGCAGAAACAAGAACAACAACGCCAUGAAAAUCGAAAGAGAAGAACGCACCAUAGCAUUUGAUGCACCAAUCUGAGGUCCCUUUCUUUCGUUGGUCACGUUUCUGAGAGGUGGUCGUUUCUUGGCCGCCAUGACGUCCUUUCCGUGAUCCUCCGUCAUCGGAGGCCUCUUCGCUGUGGAAGAUGACCGUAACCGGCGACUACGCGUCGACCUCGCCGGAAUUACUCUGCAAAAACGACGGUAGUUUUAACUUUAUUGGUCGCGAAAUGCACUGGAAGAAACCUUAUUGAGCGAAUGGGCAUAUAAUUCUUGAAGCAAUUAGGGUUUAUGUAUGGUUUUUUAUUCUUGAUGAAGAGAAGAGAGCAACUUUUUUUUUUUUCUUUUUUUUUUCUUUUUUUCUCCUCUGUUUAUUUGCAACGUUUUUGAGCGGGAAUAGCAGUUGGGCUUGAGAUGAUCUGGACCGUCUAUUUGGCUUGACAGAUCUCUAUCGUUUGAUUAGAGUACGAAUCAGUAUCUGCACAUGCCUCCAUCAAAUUUUUUAGUAUACUGGCUAAAAAGGAAUGAAAAUAAAUUUAGAAUUUUUUAAAAUGAUUUUUAAAAAAAUCUGACAAUUCAAUAUUUUGUUUAAAGAAAAAAAGGGGACACCAACGAAUUUCUUUAAAGAUCUUUUAAAAAUCUUCUUAACAUUAAGUGAUUUUAUUGGGAGAGAAAUCUAACGGUCAAAUAUUUAAUUAUUAUAUAAAUAGUAGGUUUAGUAAUUAUUUAAUUAAAUUUUAAAACCUUAAUCACAAUCAAGAAUAUUCAAAAAUAAAUUGAAACAACGUAGAGAAUUGUUACCAUGUUAAUUCAUCAACAAAAUUUACCUGCUUGUAUUUGGUAAUAAAGAUAUUUUGAUAAAUUUAUGAAAAUUGAUAUUUUCAAUGGCUUAACUAAUAGUAUAAAAACACUUUCGAAUAUAUUUUAAAAGUCAAUUUAAUAGUGAUUUCAUGAACCAAUUUUUGAUUUAAAAAUUGUUUUUGAAAAAAAAAAAUAGACGUUUUGUGAAAUUUAAAAAAAUGUAUUAUUUUAAAUAAAAUAUUUUCAAUAAAAACAUUUAAAAUAAAAAUACUAUUAAACGCACUAUAAAUUAAAAACAUUCUAUAUAAUACAAAAAUAAUAAUUAUAUAAUAUAAAAAAUAUGUUAAAAUUACAAUCUUUUUUCUUCUAACCACCUUUUUUUUAAGUUUUAACACACAAUUAAAAAAGAAAAAAAAAACUGAUAUUUAAGCUAUGUUCGGUUUAAAAAAAUACUAAAGAAAUAAAAAAAAUAUAAAAAAAAUAAAUUUAUUUAACAUAAAAAAUGCGAAAUAAAAUAAAAUAUAAUUACAAUUAGUUAGAUAUUUAUAAAUUUAAAAUUAUUUAAUAUUUAUAUAUAUAAAAAAAUUAAAUGAGAUUGAAGUAAUAUAUAAAAUAAUUUAUUAAUUUUAAAUUUACUUUUUUAUUUAUUUUUACUUUUUUAUUUCUCUAUUUUUCCGCUCUCUCGUAUAUUUGAUCAAACAUAGCCUAAUAUUUACCAUAUUCGAAAGUAAAAAGUAACUUACAUUCUUAAACUAUAUUUUAUUUUAAUUUUUCUUUUAUUAUUCUCCUAUUUACAUUGUCAAUAAGGUUUGAUUGAUGCUAAACACCUAAAUGUUCCUAGCAAAGCGGGAUGAAUUUCAAUUAUUGUUAUUGAUUGCCAACAAUUGAGGAAUGCUUGUGAUUUUGGUAACAAUAUGGUUUUGAUUUUGAAACGUACUUAUUUUUUCUCUUUUUCUAGUAAGUGGGCCCAAGAGUUUGAAUUGAGUUUGAAAGGCUUUAAUAAUUGGUUUGACAAAGUCCCAAAACAUAAUUCAAGGAGAUGGAUGGAUGGAUUUUCAAACUUUAAAGUACAUAAAUUAAUAUUUUAUUAAAAUUUAUAGGAUGAGACAACGCAGGUGAUUUAAAAAUUAUGUAAAUGGUCAUAUCAUACAAAUCCAAAAAGGUAAAGUACAAAAAUUAUUAAUUUAUUCGUGAUUUAAUUUAUUUUUUUAUCCUAUUUCUGGUUUCAAAAAGUACUAAAAAAAUAUUAAAAUUUUUAUUUUUUAAUAUUAAUUUUAUUAAAAAAAUGAAAAAAGUUAAACAUAAUAAAAAAAGUUAAAUACGUUGAAAAAAAAUAAUUUAUAUAAUUUAAAUAUAUAUAUAUAUAUAUUUAUUUUCUUUAUAUUUUAUUUUUCUUUGAAAUUUUCAAGAAUCAAAUAUAAUUUUUAUUUUUUUAAGAUCACAGUCAUUAUUACAUGAUGUUAGAGCGGCUAUUAUACCAAAAGAAUAGUUAGAGGUUUUAUUUUAUUUUUUAUUUAAAAUCUUUAAAAUGUAAUUAAUUUAAUAGUUGGAUAUUGCUUAAAAAUAAAGGGAUUAAAUUGAGAUAUGGAAAAAAUAUAUAGAAAUUAUUUUUUUUGAUUUAUCUAAAAAGGGAAGACAUUUAUCUAUAAUUAUUAGUUUAAUACGAUUUUAAAAAAAUAAAUAAAAAUAUUAUUUUAGAAAAUGAGUUCAAAUUUGUUGUUUCACAAGACCAUUUAAAGUUGUAUAUUGUAUAUCAUAAUUGGAUUAAAAUAUAUAUAUAUAUAUAUAUAUAUAUCAUAUGCCUUCUUGGCCAGCCCAAAAAAAAUAAAGCCCAACCCAUCAAACAAUUAGCCCACGUCCCAAGCUAGGCCUUCAAAGUUUAAGCCCUAAAUCACCAUCAAGGCGGAGCAGCGAGGUGCCUCGAGUACAGGCGGGAAAAAGUGAAAAACAGGAGAGAAUAGAGAGAGGGAGAGAUUUUAGAGAGAGAAAAAUGGCACCAGUGUUGCAGAGCUCUCAGCCAUGGGUGGAAAAAUAGUACGAUCUUUCUCGUAUGCUUGCAUUUUAUUUAUUAUUGAAGUUUUUUUUUUUUUAAUUUAUGUUUUGUGGGUAUUGAUUUUGUUAUCAGUCGCCCGAAGCAAGUGAAGGACGUAGCUCACCAGGACGAGGUGGUUCGAGUGCUUACCAACACCCUUGAGACCACAAAUGUAAUGGAUUCCUUUUCAUUUCAAUGUUUUCGUAUUAUCAAUUUUAUAUUUUGUUUGAAACCCUAUCAUUUUUUUCUUAUUUUCUUGAAUUUUCUGUUUGUUUGGGACCUUCAGUUGUUCAAUUUUUGCUAUCAAAAAGCAAGGAAAAUAUUUACAAAAUGGUGAAAAUUUUCUAAUUAUGCAGUGCCCGCACAUGCUAUUCUAUGGGCCGCCCGGUACCGGAAAAACCACCACUGCGCUUGCCAUUGCUCAUCAGCUUUUCGGGUCCUCUCUCUCUCUAGAGAUAUAUAUAUAUAUAUAUAUAUAUAUAUAUAUAUAUAUAUAUAUAUAUAUAUUAUUAAUAAUAAUUUUGGUUUACGAGUGAUGUACUCGUAGCACUUCAUUAGCUUGAGUUAGGAAUAUGCGAAUCUUAUUCUUUAUUGAAGUUUGAAAAAAAUUUCAGCUCAAACUUCCUUUCAAAAACACGGUGUUGUGUUUCUCAAAUGACUACAUGGAGGAUUUCUAAAUGAUGUGUUUUUUAGGGUAGACAAUAAUCUUUUUUUUUUUUAAUCGAACCAUAAGUCCUCCAUGCUUUUGAGGGCUGCGAUCAAUUUAUGUGAUUGUGAUUUGUUGAUGUUUCAUGGAAUUCUCUCUAAUUCAUUUAAGUUACAUUUAAGACUGAGGCUUGGAUGUUGGGAAGUCAGCUACAGGUUUGGAUUGGUUUGCUAGGGGAAACCAAUGUCAAUAUUGUGGCUGGGAUAUGUGUGUGCUGGGAAGGCUUACAAAAUGAAGAUCUGCACUAGGUUUGAUUUAUCAUUCAGUAACAGAAUCAAGUAUAGGAUUACAGGCACAUGGGUUUUGAUUUUAAAAGUAUUCUUUCGUGGGGGGUUUUGAUUUUAAAAGUAUUCUUUCGUGGGUUGUAUGGAAGGUUAAAGGAAUGCAUACAACUGUUAUUAUAUACUCUCGUUAUGUACUUUGGAGGUUAAUAAUCAAUUGUGGGAGUUCUAAACCAAGUAAUAUAUGAACUUUUGGUAGGCAUGGUAAGACCUACAUCCUUGAGUAAAAAAAAUUAAGUUACACUUGAAGUGGAAUUAAUAUGUGAAAGCUUAAAGGGAUUUAAGAUCAUGAUUGGAAGUUAUCUGCUGAGGCAUGCAAGCAUAUAGAGACCAAAGUUUUACACGAGAAAAGAUGUAGGAGGCAUCGAUGGAACUGAGGGAGUUAACUUGGAUGGGAUCAAAGGUUACAUUCUGAAGUAUAACUGCUCCAAGAACAAGGGCAUAUACCUGUAAUAAGGUUUUGGUCUACUUGCUUUUGUGGUUAGUGCAAUUUUUUUGCUCUUUAUUUACUUGACUUUUGGCUCCUACUUGCCAAAGUGCCUGGUGCUUGAAUUUGGUUUCUCUUAUCUUAAUAAAUUCUGUGGAAAUGAGGAUAAUGCAAUUGGUAGAACUGAUAGAAAUAGAUUUUCUGGAAAAAAAAAAAAAAAACUAAUAAAAAAUAUCUAUGUUCCCUUUGACAUGUUCAGAUGUUUGAGGGGAUUAGUGCAGAACCAAUAAUGAGCUCAAACCUUUGGUAUGGAACCAUGAAAGACCGAGUUUGUUUUUAGUUGUAAAGGUCCCCUGUAACAAAGGAGUUUUCAAGCUCUAGAUUAUCCAAGGAGCAACCAUCAUCAUUGAGCUCAAGUAUACGCUUAGUUAAAGAUCAAAGAAGUAGCAGGCUGAUGGGGGAC